UUGGAGUCGGUACAUAACACUUUGACUUUAAAAUGUGAACGCAUUGAUUAUCUUUACAUAUUUAGUUAAUAUACUCCAUGCGAUUCUUACAACUAUAAAUUUGCUAAAAUAAGUAAUUAGCUUGAAUUUUAAAAUCAAAAUAUCAUUGACCGAUUCAAAUCAAAUAAAUUGAAAUAUUGGAUAGUAAAAUUAAAAUUUUAAAAAGCUUGGAUAAUCGGCCCAAAAUAAUUUAUAAUUCAGAUAUGUUCUAUACAUUUUUACCAAUAUAUAAUUAAUUAUUUCAAAAUAGGUUAAAAUUCAGAUCACAAAAUGUGCUAUCAUUGAGAUGCUAGUUUACCUAAAUCAUGUAUUUAGUGGCCAAUGGGUGCCAAGGAAUAGACAUGCACACAAAUAUAGGUGAAAGCUAUAUAUGGGUCCAACUUUGAGUCACUAGGGUUAUGAAAGGGACCCACAUGUACCCAAAAGAGCUAAGAGAUAUGAAAUGAUCCUCCCUAAGUGGAGGCAAUUAGGUAGGGUUUGGACUUGGCAAAGGUGGCAAAUAAUAGAUUAGGAGGGGGAGGUGGGGAGGGGUACUUGAAAGAUACAUGUCAAAAUAAUAAUAUUAAGUUGAGGAGUGGGAACAUUGGCACUUUGUGUUUGUGUGUUUUAAUUUGUGGGUCUUUUUUGGUUCAUGGUGGGCCAUUUUAUGUUUGGUGAGUAGGGGUUCUUGAAUAAACCUUGAUUAGUAUGUCACUCAUUGAUUGAAGGGCUUUUUGUUGACAAUUGCAACAAAAAUAUAUGUGAUGGUUGCAUGAGUGAUAUGCAUGCAUGUCAUGCUAGCUCCAAAGUUGUAUAUAUCUUGGUAGUUUAAUUUGUUGCAUGAAAUAUUUUAUAUCUAAUCAUAUUUAAUUUCGUAGCAGGAUUUAGCCGAAAGCAGAAGUAGAAAGGAUAUUCUUUUUUCUGAGAGAUAGGUAGCACGCUACCCGCUUCGUUUAUUUCACUUAAAAAUAAAUUUAGCUGGAAAUGUGAAUCAACUAAGAUUCGAACUUGGGUCUCGAAUAUCAACCACCAAAUCCUUUGCCACUUGCUCUAGGAACAAUCGGUGUAGAAAGGAUAUUCUGUUCAAUGCUAAUGCGAUAGUAGUCAAAGAUCGAGUUUUCUUUUAUGAUGAGAUUUCAUCAAAGUUCUAACUUGAUAGUUAUGUAACAUAAAAAUGUUAUUGUUAAGGUUAUAUCAAAGAUUAAUUCAUAUCUAAUCAUACUUACUUUUAAUUUAGGAUUUAGCUCAACUUACACUCUCAUCAGCAGUCAGGAGUAAAAAAAAAAAAAAAAGUUCAUUGUUGACAUGGCAGUAAUCUAACGAAUUUUUUUCAAUGACUAAAGCUCAUCAAUGAGUAUGAAUAAAGAAUAAAUUAAAAUUUUAAUUUGCUAAAUAACAUAGCAUUGAUGACUACAAAAUUUCCAUACAUUGGGGUUGUGGAGAAUCUAGUCACCAUUUAGUUUGUACCAAAUGACAUGUAUUAAAUAAUGGUGUGGUUUUUAAAUUGAUAAAGGAUCACCUACAAAUAUAAUGCUUUUGUUAUACCUAUCUUUGGAAAUGCAUGUGUGUAUGUGUGUUUUUUUUUAUAUUGUUUGGUUGAUGCCACAGUAAAAGUGUGUGACAUUUAAUGAUAUAGGAUCUAAAUGCAUGGCACAUUAAGAAAUAUAAAACUAAAAAAACAAAAUUCCCUUUUAAAUUUUUUUUUUUUUUUUAAAUAACCUGUCACUUUGAGAGACUAUUUAGUACCAAGCAUAGUAGAGCUAGAAUGGUGACAUAAAUUUUUUGUAGCUUAUAAUUAAUUAAUUACAACUUUAAAUAUGUCAUAAUCAUAGACCGUAUCAUAGUCGAGAAAAAUGCAAAUUUUAAUAUAAAGUAGAAAGGCAAUUUUAAUAAAAAAAAUAUUACUUAUUUUACAAUUCUAUACUUUUAUAUUUAUGGGAUAAUCUAAACUAAUUGUGCAUUAAAAAUAUGAUUGCACACUUAUGUAGAUUAGCCGCCGAUUUUAUAUAUUAUAUUCCACACUUUUACUAUAAAAAUGUAAUAAUAUAGUUACACGCAUAGCAUGUCUAAUUUUGUAGUGAAAUGUAUACAUUAAGAUAUUAUAUUUUAAUAAUUUAUGUUUUUAGAAAAUAACGAAUGUUUCAGCGUAUUAAAUAUGUCUAGUUUAUACAAUAUUAGACCCAAUAGGAUCGAUGCACAUAUGAACUGAGUUGUGGUUUUAGAACAAAUUUUAAAUUAAAAAUUAUUUUAUUAGAUUAUGUUCAUACAAAACUAACGAGAACUAAAUAUAUUUUAUUUAUCACAUGCUUUAUUAAAUAUAACCGUUGCUCAAAUUGGUUGAAAUUGUAUUUGUAGUAAUUAGCGAGCGUAAUUUUAAACAAAGAACUUUCAUACUAUGAAUAAUUUUAUCACCUCAUAUAUAUAUAUAUAAUAUAUAAUAAAAUUUAAUAAAUAUGAAUUUUAAUCGUAUGUAAAGGAACAAAUUAUUAAUAACUACAUUACCUUUUGCAUAAUCUAAUUAAGCAUAAAGAAGAUGCGUACAUUAUUGUACUAUAUAUAUAANAAGCAUUAGAGCAUAUAUUCAAUUCAUUUUAAUAUAAAAAAUAACAAAAUACAUAAAAUCAAUAAAAUAGUUAAAAAUAACUAAAACAAAAUUUUUUAAUUAGUCAAGAUUCAUUUUAUAUUUUUUCUACUAUUUAAUCGGAGUCUCAUAAUAGAGUUGUUGGAUUUUAUCUAAACAAUUAAUUUAUUAAUAAUAAUAUAUUAAUUUUAAAAAAAUAAUUUAGUGAUAUUUAUCGAAAAGAAAAAUAGUUCAAUAUUAUAAAAAAGAAGUAAAUCUAAAAUACAGUAUAAAAAUUGAUAAAAUAUAAUAAUAUAAUAAUAUUUUUUUAGAAAAUAGUACAUCAUAUUAAAUAAAAAUAAUAUAUAUAGUACAAUACAGUAGAGUGUAAUUAAGCAUGUUAACCGUAUAUUUUUUCAACUAUACGGUAUCUACUGUUACAUCCAUCCAAACACAUUGUAUCUAAUUUAAUUGUCGUUGCGUGUGUUCAAAUUAAGACCUAAUUAUACACACCACUGCACAUUGGGUGGAGACAAAUUAUGUCCAAUUUUGUAAACUUUUGUUUUACUUUUUUUUUUUCUAUUUUAAUUUAAUUAUUAAUCCCUUCAUUCCCCCACCUAUAUUUCUCCCAUGGCUCUCUCUAGAUUCCAACUUUUCAAAAAAAAAAAAAAACUUUAAAUACCACUCCUGUAGUUUUAUAUAUUUUUAUUUUAGUACCAUAUAGUUUAAAGUGUAUCAAGUUAAUAUCCUGUGGCUUUAUUUUUAUUUUUUCGUCAGCUUUUUCGUCAAUAUUUUGUUAAAUUAUAUAAAAAAAACUUCAGAUACCCGAACUAGCUCUAUCGAAUAUUCACUUUAGUAACUUUUAGUUUUAACUUUAUUACUAAUUUAACGAAAAAAAUUAGUGAAAUCGAUAAUAAAAAAAUAAAAAUUAAACCAUAUGAAACUAAAUUGAUAUAUUUUAAAACACAGAAUAAUAAAGUGAAAAAGUAUGAAACCAUAAGAAUAAUAUUUGAAGUUUUUUUUUAAAGAAAAAGAAAAGAAUGAAAAAAAGAGAGAAAAAAGAAAGAAAUUAUUGCUUGCUGCUGCCUCCUCCUCCGAGUCCUCUCGUUGGUGAAAAAAAAAAAAAAAAAAUCACAAAAACAAAAACAAAAACAAAUAAAUUAUUAGACUAAUAAAUUUUUUUUAAAAAAAAAUGUAAAAAGCAGUGAAAAGGUGUGGAAAAAGUUUCCAUUUUUGCAGGUGCAUGAAUUGGCUCCUCCUCCGCCUCCCCCUCUCCCUCCCCUUCCUCCUCCUCCUCCUCCUCCUCCAUUCAACUCUUUCUCCAAAAACAUUCCUUUUUCCCUCUCUCUCUCUCUCUCUCUCUCUCUCUCUCUCUAUAUCUUUCUCUGAAACCAUUCAAAGCUCCCACCUUUCUCUCUCUUCUCUUCUCUUCUCUCUCUCUCACACACACACUUCUCCUCUGGUGAGCCCUGCUUGCGCUGUUCCUUUCAGACCCCAUCGCCUGCUCCCUUUUUGACUCUGGUUUCCUCUGCUGCUGCUGCUUUUAUUCUGGGGCUUCAAUUUUUCUGGGUAUUUAUUUAUUUAUUUAUUUAUUUAUUUCACAGGGGAUUAGGAAAAAGGAGGAUUUUUUUUCUCUUUCUUUUUGUUGGUGUGGGGGGGUUUGUAUUGUUUCUCUGAGGAUUUGGUCAUCUGGGUCUCCCCUGUUUCUUCUCCUUCUCCUUCUUUUUACACAUCUUGUUUGAGUUAAGGAGAGGAAGAGGAAGGGGAAGAGGAAGAGGAGGAAGAAGAUGACUGUGGAGGAGAUUAAGGUGAAGGGGGAAGGCGCCGGAGACCAGUUUCCGGUGGGCAUGCGCGUGCUCGCCGUCGACGACGAUCCCACCUGCCUCAAAUUGCUCGAGACCCUCCUCAUCAGAUGCAAAUACCAUGGUUCGUUUCUUCAUCCAAAUUCCUCACUUUUACUUGUUUUUUGGGGCUUCUUUUUUUAAAAAAAUAUAUAUUUGUUGGUUAAUUUCUCUCAGUAUUAGGACGUGGGUGAUCUUUUAAUUCAUUGAAAUCCUCUUUUUUCCUUGGUUUUUUGUGUUAUUUUGGUUUUUUCUUCUUUUUUUUUUUGUUUUUGGAAGUGAAAGGGUUUUAGAUAUCAUGGAAAAUUCUUUUGUUGGUUAAUUUCUCUGAGUAUUAUUAGGAUGUGGGUCUUUUAAUUCUACCUAUCAACUCUAUGUUUUCAUGUUGAUUGUUUCUGGGACUUUGCUUGUUAUUCUCUACUUUGUACCUUUUUCCUUCUCCUUUUGAAGUUCCUUUUCACUUAAGUUGUUAAUCUUAAAAUUGAAACUUUUGGCCCUGUUUGGUUUAAAAAAUGUUCAAAUUCUAUGUGGUUGGAUGGCAAAGAAGCGCAAAAAAAAAAAAAGAAAAAAGAAAAAAAAGUGUUGCUGUUGAGUGUUUUUUUCGCACUCCAUCACAUAAAAAUUUGUGUUUUUCUUUUUUCCCUAUUUCAAGAUAAGCAGUGGGACCUUAGGACCAGUUGGUUUUGUUUUUUACUUUUUUUUGUGUGUUUGUGUGUUGUUAUUUCAGUUACAACAACUAGCCAAGCAAUCACUGCCCUGAAGCUGCUGCGCGAGAACAAGGACCGAUUCGAUCUGGUCAUCAGCGACGUCCACAUGCCCGACAUGGACGGUUUCAAGCUCCUCGAGCUCGUCGGCCUCGAAAUGGACCUCCCAGUGAUUAGUAAGUCUCUCGCAUGAUCAUGCACACCUCUCUUUGUAUUUGUCGAGUUUGAUAACUACUUCGCAAAUGAAUCAUGUCCAUUAUUGCAUUAUUAUUACUGUUAUUGGUACAUUAUUUGAUGACGUAAGCGAAUGAAUCUCUCGCUCGCGCAGUGCUGUCCGGAAACGGCGAGACGCAGGCCGUGAUGAAGGGCAUAACGCACGGAGCUUGCGAUUACUUGUUGAAGCCCGUGCGGAUCGAGGAGCUAAGGAACAUAUGGCAGCACGUUGUUAGGAGGCGGAAGUUCGAUGGGCGAAGCCAGAGUAAUCUUGAGAACGGGGGGGAGGACGGUCAGAAGAGUAGCCAGAUCAAUCACGAAGGUGAGCAGGGUGCGGUCGACCGCAACGGGAAGCUGAAGAAGAAGAGGAAGGAGCAGAACGGAGAGGAGGAGGAGGAUUCUGACGAGAACCCGCGCGAGAAUGAGGACCCCUCGGCCCAGAAGAAGCCGAGGGUUGUUUGGUCGGUCGAGCUGCACCGCAAGUUCGUUGCCGCUGUUAAUCAGUUGGGAAUCGACAGUAAGAAUUCUUGCUCUUGGCUUGUUGUUGCCGUGCCAUGUUCAAUUUCUUGGAUGGGUUGGAAUGAUGAUAAUAUGUUGGUUUUGUGCAUUUUGUUCCAGAGGCUGUUCCUAAGCGGAUUCUCGAUCUUAUGAAGGUCGAGAAGCUCACUAGAGAGAAUGUCGCAAGCCAUCUGCAGGCAUGAUUUCAGUUCUUAUAUUCAUUUUUCAGCAUAUACUCACAGCUGAAUUUCCAUUUGCAUAGUGUUUUAGCCACUUUGCAACCAAAAAAAAAAAAAAAAUUACAACUCCACUCUUGUUUUCUGAAUUUGCAAAAAUGGGACUCCUUUCUUGUUUUUUUUUUUUUUUCUUUUUCAGAUUUUCGUUUUUUUUAAAAUAAAUUUCAACUUUAAGAACGAAACCACCCCUCCGCUUCAAGGCUGUGAUGCACAUUUUCGGAUAACCAAUGCACAAUUCUGAAUAGUCGAAGCACAAUUUCGAAACCUUGCGGCUAUCAAUCAAAGUUGUGCAUCGACAUUGAUAGUUCUCAACUGUGCAAUCCAUUGUGCAUCAUGCAUCGUGGUCUUUUAUUUGUCGACGAAACUUGCUCCUAUGCCUAUUUCUUUUGUAGUUUACAUAAUCACCUGUAAUUACCAUUAACAUCUAUUUCGCUCUCAUUGGAUGAAAUCAGAAGUAUAGGCUCUACCUUAAGAGGCUAAGUGCUGUAACAAGCCAACAAGCUAACAUCGCCGCGGCUUUGGGAGGACGGAACCCGUCAUUUAUCCACAUGAGCUCAUUGGAAAGCUUCAGAAACUACCAUUCACUCGGAAGCACUCGGCAUCUCCCGUCAGUCGCUUCCUGCCAAGCAAAUGGGCUUCUCGGCCGGAUGAACACGCCAACUGCGUUCGGAGUGCACGGUUUGCUUCCCUCUCAGGCGGUUCAACAGAUCGCUCGAACGCAAAACAACCCAAGCAAUCACACUAAGGAUUUGGAGAAAAUCCAAGCCGCUUAUCCGCAAGGAGUUCAUCAAGGGAAUUUGUUUCAAGGGUUUCAAGAAUCAAACAAGCUUUUCUCCGCCGGUUUCAACGGUGGUGGAUUAGCUAAUGGUUCUUGCGGCGACGCUUACGCGAACGCCGCGAACGGUUCAAUGCUAGUGCAAGCGAAUAAGAUCCCGACGCAGAAUGGAGUGUUGGGCAACUCUCCUUCUUUCAGAACUCGCGUCGGAGAGGCAGCCCAGUUUCCCGAUCUUUCGCGAUGCGACAAUACUUGGCAAAGCGUCGUUUCGUCAAAGUAUCCAGCCGCCACUUUGCCAGUCAACGACUCAUUUAAUCACAACAACGAUCUAACUCCGUGUAGCAUCGGAGACAGUAUUGCUCCGAUGCCCUCGCACAUAGAAGGUGCCGUUCUCUGUGAAUCUCCGAGCAAUUUGGAGGCGGCAGUUAAUCGUAAUCCGGUGAUUGGAAGUGAUUUACGGAAUCCUAAUCCCAUUUCUUCACUUGGUGGGAGUGCGAUGCCAAUUUCAAGCCUCGGUGAAGACCCAACGACCACUUCCUUUGACUUCAGAAGCAUGUCGAAUGCGAAUCCGAGACUGGAUCAUACCGCUAAUGCAAGUACUUCUUCCUUGAGCUCCAUAUUGCCGAAUCUUCAAAUAAAUGAUCCUACUGCCCAGAAGCAGGGCUUUUGUAGCAAGCAGAUGGAUGCGAGUUUGAUAGGAGAAGCAAAUUUUGGCGCUCCGAUCCUGACGCACGAUUGGAGGAUCGACAGUAGAUCAUCUAACAGAGAUCAAAUUCAGGGCAAGGACGAUUACGCUUCGGGAAUGACCAAGUUGCAGAAUGGCCUUAGUCGCAGCAUUGACGAUAUUGUUAGCGCCAUGCUUAAAUCGGUAUGUGUUCUUUUUCUUCUAUUGAACUACAAAAUUGUUUCUUUAGCUGUUAUUAGCAUGUUAAGAAAUGUGUCUUAAGACACUCGAAAUCACAAUAAGAUCCUUAUUAUCUUGUUGAAGGCUUUUGAGAAAGAAUACUCGAUUUAGCCGACUACAUGAAGAGCAAGUACUUUCACAUAACUAGCUAAACCACCUUAUUUCUUCAUUGUAGGACCGCGACGAGUUUACUGCUUUCGUGGAUGGGGACAUGGGAUAUGACCUCUAUACUCUUAGUACUUGAUGAGCCGAAUCGCGAUGAAGAAAAAAAAAAAAGCUCGUUGUAUUGAUUUGCGUAGGAUUCACAAUUCCAGUCGCGAAGUUUGUAUUUAUUAAUGCCCAUUUCCUCUAUUGACUUUGUUAUUCUUCUUUUUUCUAGCAAACAAUCAUCUAGGUGAGUGUAGCAUAGGAAAUUAUGAGUUGGGAAUGUUUGGAGUUUUGUAUUAUACAAAAUAUGCUUUUAAACUAAAUGAUGCUAUGGAUGGUAUUUAUUCAAGUGGAAUGUGUUUGACAAGUGACAAACAACUUGAUUUUAGGUUAUUGUACUAGGUAGUUGUCAUAGUGCUCUUUCAUAUUUGCUUAAUACUUUAUCCAGUGAUAGUAUACAACAACUUAAAAUUUGUAUUAGUUUAACAUGCUUUGAAAUUCAUUGAGCUAUGUAGUACUUUAAAAUUCAUCCAAAGUAUCUACACAUUCUUUUUUAAUUUUUAAUAUUAAAAAAUAUUGAUAUGAUUGGUAUAAAAAAAAUUAGUCCUUAAUGAAUAAAACAUAAUAUUCAUAUUUUUUUUGAAUGCUUAAAUAACAUUGCCCUCAUUUGAUUCUGUUGUUACCUAGUUUUGGAAUACAUUUUCCAUACUACAACCUGACCAUACAAAUUAUAUCAGUAAGAAUGUUAUAUCAUUAAAAAUUUUAGCGAAAACCAAGAUGCGGUCCAAAAAAAUAUCCAAAAAAAUAUUAACUCUAUUCUAUUCUCAUCAGCUCCGAGAUCGAAAGUGGAGAGUCCAAUUGAUCUUAACAUCACUGGCAUCAUCCAAAUCAUCUAACCAUUGCAUCUCAUCUCUUUUUUAAAAAAAAAAUUUCUAUUUUUUGUCUACAAAUAGAGAGAGUAACAUGGUUCAAGGACCUGAUUGAGAGAACAUGAGCCAAUAUUUUCAACUACUUCACUAUCCAGCAAAAUAUCUAGUAAAGAUUCACUAGGUAGAACACUCAAAACUGUCCCAUUGGUGCAUGCCACUUUUGGCAAGUUAUAGCAAAGAGAAAUAUUUAAGCUUCAAGUAAUUCAAAUAAUCUUAAGAGACCUAUACUUAUUUUGCAGCAUCAUCUUCAUCUCCAAUAAUGUGCGCACUUGGACAACAAGGAAUUAUAUCACAAACAGUAGAUGCUCAAUGGUUUCUGGUGCACUACCACAGAGAGUGCGGGCGACAUCCACACCCGGCGGCUGAGACUAACAAGAUCAAACACUGCAGCAUAAAAACCUCAAACAUAACAAGAUCAAAACACCAAAUGCAACCUUCGCAGAAAAGAAAAGACAAACAAAGAGCGCCUAAUCCUCUCAUCUCACAUCCUGUCCACACCCAUUUCUUUCCGAGCAGGGUGUCGCGCUGUUCAGUUAAGAGCUGUUUGGAAAAGCACGGAGCGAAUAGCUAAAGCAGUUGCCGCCACUGGGCCAUCCAAACUGCCUCCUCAUCCCAGCAUUGAGAAACCACAAGAUGUUACGGCUAUACCGGAGAAUUUCGUUGCAGGAUAGAGAGGUUCUGGAUCUCUGAUAAAUCAUAACCUGAUCAAUCGCCAGUCUUCAUCGCCUGUUUGCACAUCGAAUAAUAAAUUGGUAACCCGAAAAGAGAGAAAAGUAAUGGCGAUGAUAAGGUAUUAGAUAGAAGGAUUAAGGCUCAGAUUCACCUUUCAUUUACUAGAAAGAGAGAUCCUCCUCUCCACUCCCCAUGCAUGGCUGCAGCAUUUGCCAUGGUGCCAUCCAAGCUGCGCUACCGAGUUGCCGUCAAAUGCUUUCAUUUUAGAAUUUCACAGUAAGAGGAUAGAGAAGUAUUCAGAUCUCAUAGAAGACGAAACUUCUACCAGGCCCUCCUCUUAGAUGGCGAGAAAGUCUUCAUCGUAACAGCAAUUUCAUACAGGAUCAGAAAAUGCUAGGGGUGCAACCGGGGCAGAUCCGGACGCGCGAGGGGUCCCCCACCUCACACCGCAGUUCCUUGGCGCGUCAGGGCAGAUCUAUUUUUAUCUUUAUCUUUUACCCCCACUUAACACUUCAUUUGGGGCAAAAGCGAGUAUUUGGCAUAUUGGGACCGAUCAAGGGAAGGAAGGGGCCCUGCCUACCACUCCAUUUGCUCACCGGAUCAGGGCAGAUUUGGGACAAGUUUUUUUUUUGGGGGGGUUUUUAUUUUUGGGACCCAGGAUUGGGCGGGAUGCUAGGACUUAGGAAUUUUCUCCAAGAUUUCCCUAGCUUAAGUCCGUAAUAGGGAGCUCUAUCAACCCAGAUCCAUUUGCAUCACUAGUAAACGCCAGCUAGGGGAAGGAAUCCGACAUCAUUACCUCUUUGAAAACGGAUUAUGAAAGAAAAGGGGAAUCACCAUACAGUUUGCUAAAACUUUUGUAUGGAGCUCCCAAUAGAGGGGGUCGGCUUCCGUAGAGGCAAGUCCAACAUCACAGCAGCAAACCAAACUCCAUCAAGAUCAAAAACUAAAAGAAACUUUAUUAAAAGACAAAACGUAAACUAAACGAAAUCGUAAAAGAAAAAAGAAAAUCUCAAUAUAUGGUUGAGAAAAAAAGAAAGGAGAAAAUCCUCAAUAAAAUGGCAGCACACCAAAAGUGCAAAAGAUAGAACGGAUGAAUAAAGAGAAUUUUGUUAGAGAGAUUUUGGAUCUCUGAUAAGCCAUCACCAGUAUCAGUUGUCCAAAAGCAAGAUGAUGGUCUCAUUGAUCAUCAUCAAUACUUAAUUUGUAUGGGUAAAAUGCAUGGAUAGCCUAGCCUCUGUACUUUAACAAUAUUCCGACUUGGUCCCUAGGAAGGGGUUUUGCAUUUUGAAACUAGAGUCAUCGGUUCUAGAAGAGAUAAAAAGGGAGAGCGUAGCAGGCGGCAAACCCUUCCGAAGAACACCCAAUCCUCCGGUGAAGAGGCACCCUUAGUUGAAUUGUAGGUAAAAAUGUAUAGAACUUAUCUAAAACAUGGCCAAAUUGACCUAUUUUGAGAAGAUUGCUUAACCAGCCUACCUUUAAGGCCUAGUUAGGAAAUGUGUUGACCAAGAGUACUACCCUAAAGUGCAAUGGGAAAAUAUUGUGCUUGUUUUCUAGAGUAAUAACAUGAGAAAAAUAGUUUUGUUGCACUUUUAUCUCAAAAGAAGAGAUGUGAUUGGCUUGGACAUAAAUGAUACGGUGUAGCUGCUACAUAAAAACUACCUCCCUGUUUAGAGUAUAAAAAGGUUGGCACUUAGACAAUGGACUUGUCGAAUUACAACUCCAUUUGUGUUGUGGGGCUAGCUCUAACUCAAAAUUGAUUUUUAUUGGUCCUAUCUAAAAACAGAGAUAAAUAGCUCCACAUGCUUCCGCUCCGAACUCUUUUUAUUGUAAAGUGGACAUUUGGUCGGAUGCAAUUGUAAUUACAGUGUAGUUAGAAUUUCCUGUAGUUGACAAUGAAACAAUUACAACUAAAUGUAGCUUGUUUGGUUGAAUACAGUAGACAACGCUACAACCAUAAAUAAUUUGUUUAGUUGCACACAAUUGAAAACUGUAUCCACAAAUUUUAUCAUGGUAGGAUUACCCCCAAUAUAGAAGAAAAUUUAUAUAACUUUUUUCAUUUAGAAGGUAAGUAGGUAGGAAGGUUUACCUCUUAUAAAAUUGUGGUCAAUUUGGACGUAGCUCUUGCUGAUGCUGGAGAUUGCAACCCCAAUUUUACAAGAUAAAAGGAGAAAAAAAAAUUGAAAACAUUUUUAAUUUUUUUGGACAUUCUAUAGCAUAAAAACAAGAUGUUUUUAGCCACAGUCAAAAGUUUCAAAAGCCCUUUUACUCUUCACUCCAAUGCUGUAAAAUUCGAGCACUAAACCACCGCCGGAGAAGCAUUCAUAAGAAGAGUCCGACGAUGAUGCUUCCGGAAACACCACAUAGGUGGUGCUUCCAAUUUAUUAACCUUCGAUUCAACCCUUUCGACCAUUUCUAACAUUUGGAUUAAUAUUAUUUCUCUAGAGAGACCGCUAAAUCCUAGAUUGACCACUAAAUCCUAACCCUACAAUCCUUAAUCCAAAGGCCAAAAAGUCGAAAGCAUCAACUCCUUUAUACCUCUAGAAGCCUAGUAGCUCUACACGCAUAAGUAUAAAAUUACCUGUUCUGCUUUGUGCCUGCGUUUGCCACAAACAUUUUGCGGCUACUCUUCAAUGGGCUCGAGAAAUUCGAGAUAUUAACAAAUAUUUAACAAAAAAAAUUAGAAUGAAAAUAACAGAAACCCUAAGACAUCAAAAGCCAAUACCAACAUCAGCAAAACCAAAUGAAUAAAUAAAUAAAUAAAAGCCUAGUAAAAUGGCGACUCAAAAACGAAUAGAAUAAAUUACAAAAAAAACUAUCACCAUUAGUAGUUUGCUUGAGAGUAGGGCUCAGAAACCAUCAUCGCCUCUUUGCCCAUCGAUCGAUCGAUCUAUCUAUCUAUCUAUCUCUAGAGAGAGAUAGAGAGGGUUAGGGUUUUGGCGUUUGACGAAGAAGAUGAUCAUCGGCUCUGUCGAGUAGAGAGAGAAGAGCACAAGGAGGAGGCAAACCCUUUCCCCUCCCCAACAAACACCCGAUCCUCUUCUUGUGCUCUUCCGAGAGCCUCACACUUAAACUAAUGAGAGUGUGGAGCGAGGAAGCCUCAAACCCUAGAUUUAUAGGGUUUGAGAGAGAGACAAUAGAUUUUUUUUGUUUUCUUUUGGGAAAACUUCAAAAAACCCCUUGUGGUUUCAUUUUUUUCAAUUUAGUACCAUGUGAUUUAAAAUGUAUCAAGUUAGUACCGUGUGAUUUAAAAUGUAUCAAGUUAGUACCUUGUGGUUUCGCACUUUCUCAUUUUAGUACUCUGUGGUUUAAAGUGUAUCAAGUUAGUACCUUGUGGUUUCGCACUUUCUCACUUUAGUACCCUGUGGUUUAAUAUUUCAUUCGGAAAAAAAUAAAAUCAUAGGAUACUAACUUGAUACAAAAAUAAAAUUAUAGGGUACUAACUUGAUACAAAAAUAAAACUAUAGAGUACUAGCUUGAUACACUUGAAACCACAGAGUACUAAACCCAAUCCCAAGUUUUGAUCCCAAUCCCAAAACCACCCGUUUCCACUUCUUGUUCCUGCGCUCCUACCAUAUUUAUUAUUAUUAAAAUAUAAACAAAAUUUCUAAUUUAUUUAUUUCUAAUUAAAUUAACUCUCCAACCUCCGCCCGCUACGCUCCGGCAGUCUAUAAUACUUGGAGGCAUCCUAUGGUGAACCUUUGCUUUUUAGCUGUUUCUACUUUACUAGCUAUUACUAAUCUGUGCGACCAGUGUUAUUAAUGUAGGUCCUGUUGCCUAUCCUCGUGAACUAGGGUCGGUUUCGACUCAUAUUUUCGGUGGUGUUGUUGUUAACAUUCACGUCGUUAUUUGUUUUUUAAACUACCAUUGCACUCUACAGUUUUUAUUUUUAUGUUCAUCAUAUAUUACUAUGAUUACAAAAUUUUAUUAAUUUUUUAUUGUAAUUGAAAAAAAAAUCUUUUUUGAGUUUUUUAGAGGUACACCAAAGUGUGAAAGAUUGAAAUUAUGGGGCACCAAAUUUCACAUAGUUUAAUCAUGGGAUACUAAAGUGUGAAAGAGUGNUGAAUUAUUCGGUUUAGCAUUUCUACAAGGCAUUAAAAUUAAUUUUAUUGUUUAAUAGCAUACACCCUUUAGAGUUCGAAUGUAAAAAAAUAUAUAAAUUUGAUAAAAAUUGUUCACCAUUUUUUUAAAACGAUAAAUAAUUCGCCAUGUAAUGCUAAUUUAAUAAAUAAAAAUUUUAAAUACUUAUAUUUACAAUUGAAAAAAUCUGCAAUUAGGAACACACUUCGCAUAUUUUAACCUUUCAUCCUAAGAUUCACGCACGUCUUUUUCAGUUUUUAUUAUUAACAAAUUAAAUUAAAAAAUAUAUGAAUUGCACAUUUGGUCCUCAAACUGUAAGACCGGUGACACUUUAAUUUUCAAACUGCAAUUUAUUGCAACUUUUUUACUUAAAUAUUUAAAAUUAUUACAAUCAAAUCCUAUAAUCCAAUUUAGCUCUAAACUAAAUAUUAACAUAACGCUAAUGUANAGCGUGCAGCUUGAGUUUGCGCGGGAAUUUCAGGUAACGAAUUCCUAUCUUAAAAAAAAAAUUGUUUUAAUUUUCUUCGGGUUUCUUAACAUUAGAUUGUUACAGAUAAUUUAGAUAAUUAGAUAAUUUAAAAAAAAAAAAAAAAAAAAAAAAAAAAAGAUCCACCUGCGGUUCAGAAUCAGAAUCAGAAUCAGAAUUGAAAUUAAGCCCAAAAUCAGUUUCACUUCAAUUCAUAUUUUUUGCAAAUCAAAUCGAUAAUUCUCACUUUGUUGCGUAAGGCAUGUGUUUGGAUGUUGGAAACACAUCGCUGCAACCACUUGAAUCUUGCUUUCCUCUUCCUUCAGAAUUAGUGAUUUAGAGGAUUUCAAAGAGGAUAUAUAAAUUGAAAUUCAAUGGAAAUAAAUUACCAAUAAGCAGCAGAUGAUGAAAAAUUUUCAGCUACUCAUGCAACAACAGCAGAUUCAGCAAAAAGUAGUUCCUCAAUGCAACGAAUUUCCCCGACUAAGCAGCGAAAUAUGCAAAAAGUAGUUCCUCAAUGAUUCAAAAAAGAUGAUAAAUUCAAAACAGAACAAAUAUUCAGAAUAGAAAAAGGAGCAAGGAAAAGACACCAACAUUGCAAAAUUGUAUCCGGGAAGUAGGUUCUGCCAUUAAGGGCAGUCCAAACAUAAUAGUAAAUUGAUAUUUUACGAGAAGCAAAUAUUUUACGGACCGCUGCAGUAACUUAAAAAAGAGGGAGCAAAAAUGGUUGCCUGAAAAGAACAGACAAGCCAAACCACACUAGACAGAACAGAGAAGAUGCAGGAUGAACAGGAUGAACAAAUAUAGCUUCAAAACCUCACAAAUUUAACCGAAUAGUGUGUACAAAUCUCUAAACCAAGAAUCUGCACCCAAAAUAUUGGGAUUAUAUUUCUCUGGGUGGGCCAAAAUCAUCAUUUGCCUCGAAAGAGAAACAGGAAAAGAGCUGAAAGACAACAACAACCACCAACAACACCACCACCACCGCCGACCGGAGCAGGAAGGAAGAAGUGCCUGAGAGAAGCUACCAAAUUAAAGUAAGCAAAAAGCUGUUCUAACCCGGCAUAUUCUUCUCAAGAAAAGCUCGAAAUUGUCGUUACGUAAAACAUAUAUAGACUGCUUUCACAAAUUGCAAGGAAGCGUAGCAUGACAAGCCUCAAAAUCGAAGGAUCUCCCUAGAGGAUCAUUACUAGACAUUAAAUCAGUGUCUCACAUACAAAUACCUUAUCAAUUUUAUUGUUUAGCCAAUCGUAUCUAGCGCAAUUGGCUAAAGACCUGAUGGUUGGCACCCGAAGUCCCAAAUUCAAAGCCUAGUUGCCUCACAUUUCCAACCGAGUACAUUUCUAAAAAAUAGAACGAAGUAGCUAGUUUGCUACUUUUCUCUCAAUUUUUUUAAAAAAAUUACUAUUUAGAAAUUUAAUAAAUUAUUUUAUGAACAAAAUUUAAUUUACGAGAAUUUUUAAGUAAAAAUCUAGAUCCACAACAAACCUGCAAGAGGGAAGACAGGAUUUUCGGUUAAACAAGAUUAGAGUAGAUAUUAAUUGCCACAUGUCAGUUACUUGGCAUGCCACUUGGCAAAACGAGAAUCCUUCACGUUCUCUCAGCUUUUGCUUUCAUAUAUUUAUGUAGAAUUAAAUCAAAGCAUCGCUUACUCGCUCCUGCUUCCAUCUAUAGAUCAAAUAGGAAAGGGCAAAAAAGAUGACAGGAGCUGCAGGUAAAGGAGGCUCAGAUUCGCCUUUGAUGCAUCAGAGAAAAGAUCUCUCUCCCUCUCUUCUCUCAUGCAAGUCCAACCCCUUCUACACGUUAAUGGCGGCAGCGGUUGCGUUCGCACCAUCCAUGCUGCUUUGCCAUCAUUAGAAGGGAUCUGAGAAAAGCAUGAAGAGAAGAGACGGAUUCGCAAUCCGAGAUUAACUAACAAUCAGCUAUGCACUGAAUCAUCGAUCAUCAUCACCUCCUCACUGCUAUCCUCUUUCAAAUCAAAUCUGAUUAUAGAUCACUUGAAUUCAGUUCACAAAAACUCAAUUGAAUUCAAAGCUGUAAAAUGCUCAAAUGUUUGCACUCAUUUUGAACACCCCGAAAGGAGCUAUAGGGUGAGAAAGGAGAGGAGAUAACACCCAUUCGAUCCAGCUUCCAAAAUGUAGUUUUGCCAGAUGAGUGGUAUCAAGAUUUAAACAGAGUCUGAACACCAAGUUGGGGUUAUAUCCCAUGGGAGGGGCCAAAAUCACCAUUGCCGUUGGAAAAGGAAAGGCAAACCUUUAAAGAUGAUCACUAACAGCAGGAACGGAAAGAAAAAAAAGAAGCAAUGAAAAGGAAGGAUAGUGAUAUUGCCAGAGCAAGUAAUGAAGGACCUUGAAAUGUGCUCUGAAUGUAGGUACUAAAGGUGCAAGGCUGCCAUUCCAACCUUCCAGCAUCCAUCACAGAAGCUCGAGAAUUACAUAGGGUGAUGUUUGGUUUCACAUAAAACUGCUAUUGACAAGUUGCAUCCUUGAUUUUCAGGAAAAGAAAAUGAAGAGUGAGAAAGAACGAGACAGAUAAGUAUUUUCAGUUUUCAGUCUGCAUUUUCUGCAGAACUACUUAAAAUACAAAAAAGCCUUUUCCAGAGUAUUUUACACACAGAAAAACUUCAAGAGCUCUUCUCACCCCAAAAUAGUGAUUUUGGGCCUAAUGUCUAACGACUCAAUCCACCAGUUAAGCAUGCUAGGGCGAGAGUAGUACUAGCAGGCUUGGUUGUCACAUUGGGGGUGGAGCAUCAAAGAGGAUUACCAGCCAGAAGUGUAAGCAAGGUCUCGCAUCGCCUGAUGAUCGGGAACAUGUGGGUAAAUGGACCUAACAAAGAUGCUGAGAUCUAAAUAGGGGAAGUUUGUGAUGCCCCAACGGUAGUCCCAUAUCAGACGGAAAAAAGAUUAUGCAUGUACAUAUAAGGGCUAAACUCUCUAGUACUAACAACUUAGGCUUAAGCAUUUUGAACUAGUAGUUUAGACCAGGUAAGUUAUUAGUGCUAGUGAACUCUGUAGCAUUAUGCUUGAGCACGGCUAUGAACAUCCCCGAGUGUUCCCAACUGUAAACUGACGAGAGAAAGGAAUAUCUUCUCUGGAGCAGGCAGAGCAGAACAGAAAAGGAGGAGUUUUAGAAUCAGAAAACAGAACUAGCAGCUCUGAAAUAGAAUGGAGACAGCACAGGAGGCGGCAAACCCUUCCCACGAACAACCAAUCCUCUGGUAAAGAAACACUCUCCGACUAUGUAAAUUGCACCAAGAGUCAUCAACUUUUUAAUCUUACUUUCAGCUUGAUCUCCAUUUCACAACCUUAAAAUAGAACACUUCGAUAGGAUCGAGUUCUGAGUAGACUUGCUGGGAUUUCAGCUUAGAAGAAUUCAGUUGAAUCCAUUUAGAAAUGACCAUAUGUUUUGAAGGAGUAAAAGAACUCCCAAAAUUCUUCAUGCAAAGUGAAAGAAUCUAGACACCGUCAAAUCAAGAUUUGCUUAAAGCCAGUUGGGUAAAAUUCCAAAGAAUUGGCAGGGAAAAAGAGGGGGGCGGGGAAAGGAGGGGGGGGGUUGUGUUUGGGAAUUAGCAAUCCAGAACAAGAAAUACAAAAAAAGAUACCAAAAGUGAACAUUUCAAAUAGUAAUUUGCAUGCAAAUGCAAAUGCCAAAACAGCCAUAGAAGACAUAAGCAUCAUAAAAUUCUACUUUUCUGAAAAAAUUACAACAAAUAGAAAACAGAGAGAGAGUAAACGGAGAAUAACAAAUAUACCAGUAUUAGUAUAGAUAAAUACAUCAAGAUGAAAAACCGAAAGAAACUUCAUUAAAAACAAAAGCAUCAUUAUUAAAACCACAAAAUUAUUACAAAAAAAAGAUAAGCAUGGUGUUUGGACAGGAAAGUAUGGCUCAGAUUCACCUAAGAUCAAUCAAAAGCAAAAAGUUUUUAGUCCGACAAUCCUACCAUGCAGUUUGAUAUGACCAAUUUGGUCUGAGGCACCACAUUAAGAUUCUGGUCUGAAAGGGCGUGGGUUCAAAUCCCAAUCCCAACAGAAAACAACAUUUCCGCCCACUGAGAUCCUUGUUAGUGGGUACUGCAUUGGUCAAAUACCAGGUCGCAGGUUCCAGGAUGUCCACAGACCCAUUACAUGGCUGAGCUCUAAGAUUGAAAGGGAAGUCUUCUUUGCAACAGAUGGACCAUGAAUCCAUGAGAAGUUAAAAAGAAAGAGGCAGGGUCUUAGAUUUUCGAAACAGUUAAAUUCUAUAAGGAGCUCCUUAAAAAGGAGGAUGGCUCCACUUGAGAACCCGUUAGAUAUGACUCGAAAUUUGGUCAUCGGUGUCGAUUUUGUCCCUAAUUUGCCGACAGCUUUGCGGUGCGACAAAUUUUGAAAAAUGAUUUGGAAAGGGAAAAGUGGAUGUCAGUGGUGGAAGCGGGGGACUCGGGCUGAUCCAAUACUAAAAUAAUUCGCUAAGAACUUCUCUUUUUUUUGCCCUAGAGGCAAUACAUUGCAUUGUACUUCCAUAAUAUUGUACUCCCUUAGGUAUAGUUUGGUUUGGGGAUAAGCAAAAAGUGGGUAUUCUAGGGAUAGGUAUAAAUUGAGGUAUAAGCGGGGAUUAGAUCAAUUUUGCGUUUGGAUGAAAAUUGGGUUAUUCUUGAGAAUAAGAAAAAUAGUGUUUGGUUAGGUAAGAUGGAAUAAGAAUUAAAGUGGGUAGUUAUAAAUAAAAAAUAAUAAUAUUAUUCUUUUCUUUAUAUUAGAAUUUGAAUUUUUAUAUUUUAUAUUUAUAUUUUAAAAUUUAUAAUUUUAACUUUUAAAUUUUAAAUUUUGAAAUUAAAAUUUAAAUUUAAAAUCUCAAAUUUCAAAUUUUAAAUUUCAAACUUUAAAUUUAAGAUCAAAUUUAAAUUUUAAAAAAAUAAAAUAUCAAAAUUAAAUUUAAAAUUUAUUUAAAUUUUAAAUUUUAAUUUAUUAUAAUAUUUAAAUAUAAUUUAUUAUAAAAUUUAUUACAAUAUUUAAAUAUAAAUAAUAUGUAUUAAUAUAGUACAAUUAAUAAUUUUAUAAUAAAAAUAAUGUAUUAUAAUAUAUAAUAUAUUAUAUUUAUAUAAUUUAGUUUUAAUUCAUUUUAUAAUUUUAAUUAAGUUUAAAAUUAAGCAUUGGAAUAGCACUAUUCCACCAAAAUGGUGGAAUAGUAAAAAGCUUGCUAUUCCGGGAUAACCGGGAAUAGCAAGCUUUGGUCGGGAUAAAAUAUCCUGGUAAAAAAUGACCCCGUUUGGCGGAAUAGCGGGGAUAACUUUCGUUAUCCCGUUUAUCCCCCGAACCAAACGGGGCCUUAGUGAAGUACUCUUCUUUUUCGCCCGUGAUUUUUUACCCUACAAAGGGUUUUCCAUGUAAAUCCUUGUGUUCUAUAUUUUCUUUUUCUGUUUUGUGAUUUGUCUACUUUGCGAUCGCCGUUUCUCGUUUCUGUUUGUGCGCUCCUCAUAACAGAACCCAACCCUGUCCGAGAAAAAGGCUUUCUAUAUAAAACUCAUAGCAUGCAGAAUGUUGCAUUGAGGAACAAAAUCUUCCUUGUGACCUUUAAACCAUGAGUAUCAAAGGAGAAGAGGAAGGAUUUACAUUUGAUAUAACAGAAUCAUCAGCUCUAGAGGAGAUGAUGAUCACAGAGAUCAAAGGAGGUGGCAAACCCUUCCCAAGAACACCCAAUCCUCCAUGAGCCUCAUAUAAGAGCAAGAAGUCAAGGCCUUCUAAUUCCAGAGGAGAAGUCUAGCAAAGGAGAAAUUAUUGCCUGCACCUGGUGCAUCCGGAAAUUCUAUACAUCCUGUCUUGCCAACAUAAACUUCACAGUAAUGAUGUUAAGUGAAUGCCGUGGCGUGGGGUCGUGCUAAGCACUUUCCGACAAAAUAAGGCACAAUGCAUGCUGUACUAUGCCAAUGUGUGCCUUCUACAAAAGUAACUUGGACACACUAUGGUAUAAAAAUAUAUACAUCUUUGGCACCGGCGUACUCUAAUUGCUUAUCUACUAAUUUAAAAGAAGAGGGUUUUGCUAUCGACAGAAGGGUUGUAUCAUGUCAAUAUCUUGUCGACCCGCUACGGCACUGGCGGUGACAAUGGCCACUUAAAUCCUUGCUUCACAGGAUAUAAUAUGACUCACAUAGAACUAAGUUCAAGAUUACCCUUUCAAUAGUCGAUGUGCUACCCCAACAUAAGAUUCAGCUGCUCAAAGGCCACAUGCACAAAUCAAUCAUCCAUGCCUCAUAAAUUUAUGUGCGUAUGCAUGUGUGCUUCUAUGUAUGUUAUUAUUAUGCAUAUUCCAAACAUAUAUACAUAUAUACACAUACAUAUGAGAGAGAGAGAGAGAGAGAGAGAGAGAGAGAGAGAGAACCCUGAUCGACCCAAGUAGGGAGAGAUCUCUCAGAUUGGCAAAAAUCAACAUUGCCUCUGAAAAACAAAAAGGAAAAGAGCAAAAGAGAAACCCAUUAACAGCAAUAAAAAAAGAGGCAAGGAAAAGGGGACUAAAAUUAAAAUUAACAGAAGCUUGAAAGAUAUCAUAGAGUUCGGACAAACCACAGUAAAUCAAAGCUCAGAGGCUAUCAGUAUAUAAAUAAAGGACAUAAAUAAUAUUACCAACAAAUAUAAGAGCAAAAAGCAAUAAAAUAAGAAAAUAUAGACCUGACAGUUCUGUAACAAAACCAAAAAUCCCACUGAUACAAAGGAUUAAAUAUAUAAAAGAAAUUCUCUGCAAGUGUAUGUUUCAAGAAAAAAAAGGGGCAAACAGAUAAAGAAAAAUGAUGAAUAGAAAAGGAAAAAGAUUUGCGAAGGGAGGCUCAGAUUUGCCUUUGAUCAGUCACAUAAUGAGUCAAUCCUCUCCUCUGCCCUUGUCCAAACCCAGCCCCUAUGAAAAACAAAUGGCUGCAGUAAUAUUAUCCAAUCCGCCUUGCCAUUUUAACUUCUAAUAGUUGAUCGAAGAAGAAAACACUCCACGUAUCCCCCGAAAUGGGGGCUAACUAUAGAAGAUUACUACUAAGGGGAUCUCAAUAAAGGCUAAAUUACAGAAAACACCCCUGCACUUUUGCAACCUGUAUCAAUUAUCCCUCAUAAAAGGAGACUUAGAUUCAUUGUUGUUGAUCAAUCAGAUGAAAAAAUAUGCCUCUUCUCUCCUCUUGCCUAAAUCAUUUCCCUCAGGGUUAACGGCUGCAGCAGUUGCACUGGUACCAUCCAUACUAUCUUUGCCAUCAUAAACUUUAACAAGGGAUCGGAAAGGAGCUUGAGACAAAGCAGUUGGAUUAUAAGAUUACCUGCUAAUGAGUGAUACACCAUCACCAGCUUUGCUUGUUCACCCCAAGCUGAUGCGCUCAUCAAUCAUCAUCACCGCCUCCUUAUAAUCACUCUGCUCAGAACCAAAUCAGAAUAGAAUUCUUUUUUUUUUUUUCCUUUUUACUGUAAGACAUUGUGAGUCCCUAUGCAGUUAGAAUAGGACUCAUUGAAUGCAAUUCAAAAGUAAACAAUUAAAUUCACUCAUUCAUUUAUGUGGUUCAAAAUGAAAGGAAGUAGGGAUGUAAACGGGUCGGAUAACAUCAGAACCAUGAUCUGGUUGGAACCGCGAUCUGAUUACAGAGCUCCCAUCAGAACCGCGAUCAGAUCGCGCAUUCCAAUUUGUGGAGGGUUCCCAAUCUGUAUAGCAAAAAGUGACAAAGACAAAUAAAAAAUAAAUAAAUAAAUCAAUCAAAUUGGUUGGUUAGAUUACCUUAAAUAAGUGUGUUUUAAAAGAUAGAAUAAUACGCAAAAAUCAUACCCCAAAAAAAGAAAGAGCUGGUGAUUAGAAGAGAAAUUCACAACUGGAGAUAAACAAAAGAAAAAUAUAUGUAGUAACAAUAUGUUAAGUUAUAUACACACACGCACUGGUUAUUCGAUGAGAACCAUGGUCGGACAAACGAUCUGACUAAUCCUAACCACAUUCUUGAGAAACUAGCAUACUGCAUCCCCAUAUACAGCAUGCCACAUCGUAUCCCAUUACCAGUAGCAUUGAUCCAUCUAACCUUGCUUCUGAACACAGAGUUUGCUAGACAAUGAAUUCAAAUUUCCUUAUCCAGCUUGAACUCAGGUGGGAACAAGAUUUCUAAACGUAAUUCGAAUGUGCAAAAGCAAAAUCCAAGCGGAAAUUUUAUUCGAAAUGGCUACGAUGAAGUAUUUAAGUGCCGAUUGGCAUGGGCCGUAUCGUGCCGACAAGAUAUAUGCACGAUACAGCCACUAUGCCGAUGACACAACUCAACACCCUCUAUUCUUUAAAUUAGUAAGUAAUUUUCUCAAUAAAGUUCAAAAGAUUUGAUAAAGAUAUAUAAUAAACGGUUAGAAUAUUUUGUUGCUAAAGAAAAUAAAUAUUUCAUGCCAUUGUGGGUUGGCACACAUAUAUUUUUUGUGACCGGCAAGCACAGUGCCGUACCGUGCCGGCAAGUUUCCGGCACGAACCCGUGCCACAGCACAAAUCAUUGGCUAAGAUAUUCCUAGGAUUAGCCCAAUGUAUAUAAAGGAAAGGUCAAGAAGGCUCAGAUUGGCUCACAUAUCAGGACAUGACGGCUUUUGGGCUCCCCAAAGUCUUGGAACGAAACACUGUUCUUAGGGACACGUUGUCUCUCCAUCUCCAGUUGCAUUAAAAGUGGGACAAAAUGGUUGCCUGCACAAGGCAGGCCAUCCACAAUUUGCCUUGCCAACUAUUUUGAAGUUCAAUGCAUCAAACUGCAACACAAAGAAAUACACUUGCCUAAACAAAAUUUCAGGAGAAAGUUCAGUGACCGAUGGUGCGAUUUACCCAAAGCAAAGCAUCAACACGAAAACCAUGAACCCCCAAACCCUAAAUUCAAUAUCUAAACCAACAAGGCUGCAGCUAGAAAUGGGGCUAUAUCCCUUCAAGUGGGCCAAAUCAUCAUUGCCUUUCAGAGGGAGGGUCAAAAUAAGAAAAGCCGAUAGCCAACAACAAAAAAAGAAGGGCCUGAGAAUGAACUUCUAGAGGGAGACAAGAACCACGAGCUCUCACUCUAAGAGAGACAGGGCAGCGCUUCCAAGCUUCCAUCUAGUCCUCACAAAAGUAGAUAAGUCACCAAAGUAAUGCUCAAAAUUUCAUGUUUGAGACUAACUUACGAAGCUAAAUGCAGUAAUAAGAUUUACCCAAUUUGGGGUAAAAUGUAUGGAACUAACCUGAACUAUAGGCCAUUUUGAAAUAGGCACACUUUCUCAAAGAGAAUAAGUGUAUUUGAGCACCAUCACAGGCUCCCAUGAACUCACCCCAAUUCAAUGAAGUACAACCCACAUUGUACAACAGUGCAAGGGACCCGUAGCAUACUCUUCAGAAACAGUGAUGAACUCACCAAUCAUCACUGUUUCAAGCUAUAGAACAAACAGGGAACUUGCAGCAGUACUGAGUGAAAUAGGUAUCUUUUUGUCAAAGAGGAGAAAUGGAUGAACUCACCAAUCAUCAUCACCUCCUUAUUAUCAUGCUUGCUAUUUUAUGUGUGUGCGUAUGAGAGAGAGAGAGAGAGAGAGAGAGAGAGAGAGAGAGAGAGAGGAGAGGAGAGGUGGGCUUUUUAAGAGAUCGCCUGCUCAGCCUGGAAGGGGUCCCAAUAUACUGCGUCUUGCAGAGGCUGAGAAUGAGGCAAACACUUCCAGAGGCAAAAAACCUUUAAUGUGUUACUCUGGGAUCCCAAGGGAGAUAGGCCCAGAUUUCAUAUCAGGGAAAUAUUUUGGCUAGAAAUACUUCGGCUUCUCCAGGGCACAAGAAAUUGCCUGCACCGGGUGUAUAAGUACAUCUCAUACAUCGCACUGCCAAAAUCAUAAGAUAGAGGCAUUAAAAUCAGAAGUAGAGGACCCAAAAUUUGCAUUGCCAACUGUUCUGAAGUUCAGUGCUUCAAACUGUAACUCACAAAUGAACUUGUUUAAAUGAAACUUAGCUGAAUGUUCAAUGACAAAUGGUGCAACUUACCCAAAAAGAAGCAUCGAAUCUGAAACACAGAACCAAAACCCAAAACCCUAUAUUCAACAUUCAAACCAACCAGUCUGCAUCCCAAACUAAAUUGACUUUUAAAAAGAAGGUAAAGGUAAGAAAAUAUGAUGGCCAGCAGCAGGACAAAAUAAUAAAAAUGAAACAAUUAAAAAGAAAAGCCUAAUAAUGAAUUUGGAAGGGACAUCGGAACCAUGAGAUCUGGCUUCAAGGAAGGCAGGGCAACCCUUCCAACCUUCCAACCUUUCCUAACAAGAGCCACGAAAUUUUCUAACUUAAUACUCAUAUAUAUCCCAUUUGCAACAAACUUGUGAACUUUGUUCGACCAUUGAUAAAAGGACCUCAAAAAGAACCCAAGAACCUUGAAAAAAAGGAUUAAACAACAAGAGAAUGAUGCUAUCGGUAACUCAGGAGAAGAAAAGGUUCACUGCAUUCAUGAUUUCACACAAGAUUGGUAACAAUUUAAUCAAACAUUUCAAAGCCGAUGCGUUGAUUUCAUAAAUCCUCAAGAAACAGCAAAGGAAUGUCAGGAAAAAAAAAAAAAGAGAAUAAGAAAACCCUUUGUAUUGUCUGAAAUCUGAACAGCAAAUCAGAUAAGUGGAAGAAUGUUAAUCUCAUUUGUAUCACCACGACCUUCUCCCACUGUCCCACCAUAGAAUAUCUCAUUAAAAACGGAGAAAAGAACACAGCAAUAGCAGCAAUACGUCGAAAAGAAAAGGAUUUUGUUAAAAACAUCAAUAUUCCACUAUAGCAGACUGACCUUCUAAGAACAAAACCACAAUAAAGCCACAAGACUGUGUGUUGGAAAUGGAAAGAAGAAUCAUAAUACUUAAAAAUUGAAGGGACAAAAAUUAAGAAAGGACUUCACGAAAAAUGUCGCAGAACCAAAGCAAAAACACUUGUUUAAACAACCCAAUGAAAGAAAAAAAAAACUCCAUAGAAUCUCAGCAAUAGUAAAAUAAUAGGGUUAAUUGCAUACAGCUCCCUGUAACUCCAAGAAGAAACACACACAUGGAAAUACAAUGAGAUUGGAGGAAGUGAGGCUCAGAUUCACCAUUGAUUGAUCAAAUAAACAAAUCUCCUCUCUCUCUCUCUCUCUCUCUUUAUCUCCCACGCUUCUUGUCCGAGUAAAACCCUUCAUAAGGGCAAAGGGCUGCAGCAGUUGCACUCAUGCCAUACAAGCUGCCUUGCCAUCUUGACCUUCAAAAUGGUAUGGUGUCAUCAAUCAUCAUCGCCUCCCCCUUGCAUACAUCAUUUCAACACACAUAUACAUACAUACAUACAUACAUACAUAUAUAUACACACACACACACAUACACAAGAAGGGGCAAGCUAGAGAGACUAGUCAAUCCGUCACCUCCAAGCUGCCGCAAAAACGUAAAUAAGGCGUUCACUAGCACAAAACCCUUAAAAAUGAACUCACUAAGAAUGUCGCAAAACCAAAGCAAAAACACUUGUUUAAACAACCCAAUGAAACAAAAAAAAACUCCAUAGAAUCUCAGCAUUAGUAAAAUAACCGGGUUAAUUGCAUACAGCUCCCUGUAACUCCUAGAAGAAACACACACUUGGAAAUACGAUGAGAUUGGGGGAAGUGAGGCUCAGAUUCACCAUUGAAUAUCAAAUAAACAAGUCUCCUCUCUCCCUCUCUCUCUCUCUCUCUCUCUAUUUAUCUCCCACGCUUCUUGUCUGAGUAAAACCCUUCAUAAGGGCAAAGGGCUGCAGCAGUUGCACUCAUGCCAUACAAGCUGCCUUGCCAUCUUGACCUUCAAAAUGGUAUGGUGUCAUCAAUCAUCAUUGCCUCCCCCUUGCGUACAUCAUUUCAACACACAUAUACAUACAUACACACAUACACAAGAAGGGGCAAGCUAGAGAGACAAGUCAAUCCGUCACCUCCAAGCUGCCGCAAAAACAUAAAUAAGGAGUUCACUAGCACAAAACCCUUAAAAAUGAACUUAAUAUACACAAAAUUUGUAAAUCAACAAUAAACUUCUCAACGGUUCAAGGGUUAAUUUUAUACAGUCCCCCAAAUCCGACCAUUAUUUCUAUUUCAACCUUUAAGUAGGCCAAAAUCAUCAUUGUAAAAGAAAAGCUAAGAAGCCAAGAAGGAAGCAAGGAAGAAUGGCUUGACAACACGCUUACAAUAGAGAUAAGAAACCAUGGGCUUCUAGUACGGAGAGGUAGGGCAGCCCUUCAAACCUUCCAUCCUUUCCUCACAAAAACUCGAGGAUUUUCAGUGUGUCGCUCAUGUAGUAUAUCUGGAUCAAAAGCAGAGGAACUUCCUAUAGAAUUUCUUUUUGAGCAAUGCUACUGAGCAGCAUACUGCCUCAAAAGUGGAGGAGCUAGGGAUGCCAAUGAGUUGGAUGAAUAUCAGUCCAACCCGGUUCCAAAUCCGAGUUUUUCCAGAUCCGUUCAGAUUUAUUAAACUAACCUGAAAAAAGCGCAAAACUAGUGGAUUUUUUAUGCAAAUUGGCAUUCCAUGAACUAGCCAGUUAGGUAUGAAGAAACUGAGAAGAAGGCUCAGAAUGGCCCGUUUAUCAGACACAACACUCGCUGGUUUUCUCAAACUAGAAGCAAGAAACAACAGGGGGCAUGGCUAUGUCCGGGAGUGACAGACUGUUUUUAGGCUCACCAUCCAUUCAGCAUAUCUUUUUUACUUCAUAUCUAAAGAGGCGAGCAAAUGGUUGCCUGCAGAAGGCAGACCAUCCAAAUUUGCCCAAAAAGUUUAGGGACCAGCAGUGCAAUUUACCCAAAUAAAGCAUUAAGAACUCGGACCAUGAACACCCCAAAUUCGAAAUUCGAGAACUAAACCAGCAAGUCUGCAUCCCAAUUUAGGAUAGUAUCCCCUUGGGCGGGCCAAUAUCAUCAUUGCCAAACCAAAAGAACAGCUGAUCACCGGCAACUGGAGCAAAAAAAGAGGAAGAUGCUCCUAAUAACGACAGUGCAGGGCAGCCUUUCCAAUCCCCAAAGCUCACAAACAUUUAAGGGGCUGUUUGGUUCAACAUUCGUAAUAUUCCAGGAAUGCUGUAUGUUUUAUAUGUGGACUAGCAAGUUCGUAACAUUGAUGAUCAUCUAAGAUGAUUACAUCAAUAUAUAUAUAUAUAUAUAGAAUUAGGCUACUAUUAUAUAUAUAUAUAUAUAGAGAGAGAGAGAGAGAGAGAAUUAUGCUACUAUACUAUCGAUAGUACUAAGCGUUUGGUGCUAUCGAAUUUUUGACCGUUGGAUUAAAGGAUGUGCAGUUAGGAUGAUAGCAGCCUCCUAGGGUUGAGUGGAUGGUUGGUUGAAUAGAAUAAUCUAACGGGUGAAAAUGAUCAAAAUGAUAGAUCUAACGGCGGAAAACUUGGUAGCACUAAGUGCUUCGUGCUAUAUAUAAGAGUAUAUACGGUAUAUACGAUCAAAACAGCUAUGUAAUCAGUAACUUUAAUUGAGAAAAAGAAUAUCUAUUGAACUGUAUGAUAAAAUUUAUUUCAAGAAGGGGCAAGCUAGAGAGACUAGUCAAUCCGUCACCUCCAAGCUGCCGCAAAAACGUAAAUAAGGCGUUCACUAGCACAAAACCCUUAAAAAUGAACUCACUAAGAAUGUCGCAAAACCAAAGCAAAAACACUUGUUUAAACAACCCAAUGAAACAAAAAAAAACUCCAUAGAAUCUCAGCAUUAGUAAAAUAACCGGGUUAAUUGCAUACAGCUCCCUGUAACUCCUAGAAGAAACACACACUUGGAAAUACGAUGAGAUUGGGGGAAGUGAGGCUCAGAUUCACCAUUGAAUAUCAAAUAAACAAGUCUCCUCUCUCCCUCUCUCUCUCUCUCUCUCUCUAUUUAUCUCCCACGCUUCUUGUCCGAGUAAAACCCUUCAUAAGGGCAAAGGGCUGCAGCAGUUGCACUCAUGCCAUACAAGCUGCCUUGCCAUCUUGACCUUCAAAAUGGUAUGGUGUCAUCAAUCAUCAUUGCCUCCCCCUUGCGUACACACACACACACACACACACACACACACACACACACACACACACACACACACACACACACACACACACACACACACACACACACACACACACACACACACACACACACACACACACACACACACACACACACACACACACACACACACACACACACACACACACACACACACACACACACACACACACACACACACACACACACACACACACACACACACACACACACACACACACACACACACACACACACACACACACACACACACACACACACACACACACACACACACACACACACACACACACACACACACACACACACACACACACACACACACACACACACACACACACACACACACACACACACACACACACACACACACACACACACACACACACACACACACACACACACACACACACACACACACACACACACACACACACACACACACACACACACACACACACAUACACAAGAAGGGGCAAGCUAGAGAGACUAGUCAAUCCGUCACCUCCAAGCUGCCGCAAAAACAUAAAUAAGGCGUUCACUAGCAAACAACCCUUCAAAAUGAACUCACUAACAAUGUCACAGAACCAAAGCAAAAACACUUGUUUAAACAACCCAAUGAAAGAAAAAAAAAAACCUCCAUAGAAUCUCAGCAUUAGUAAAAUAAUAGGGUUACAGCUCCCUGUAACUCCAAGAAGAAACACACACUUGGAAAUACAAUGAGAUUGGGGGAAGUGAGGCUCAGAUUCACCAUUGAAUAUCCAAUAAACAAAUCUCCUCUCUCUCUCUCUCUCUCUCUCUCUCUCUCUCUCUCUCCCACGCUUCUUGUCCGAGUAAAACCCUUCAUAAGGGCAAAGGGCUGCAGCAGUUGCACUCAUGCCAUACAAGCUGCCUUGCCAUCUUGACCUUCAAAAUGGUAUGGUGUCAUCAAUCAUCAUUGCCUCCCCCUUGCGUACAUCAUUUCAACACACAUAUACAUACAUACACACAUACACAAGAAGGGGCAAGCUAGAGAGACAAGUCAAUCCGUCACCUCCAAGCUGCCGCAAAACAUAAAUAAGGAGUUCACUAGCACAAAACCCUUAAAAAUGAACUUAAUAUACACAAAAUUUGUAAAUCAACAAUAAACUUCUCAACGGUUCAAGGGUUAAUUUUAUACAGUCCCCCAAAUCCGACCAUUAUUUCUAUUUCAACCUUUAAGUAGGCCAAAAUCAUCAUUGUAAAAGAAAAGCUAAGAAGCCAAGAAGGAAGCAAGGAAGAAUGGCUUGACAACACGCUUACAAUAGAGAUAAGAAACCAUGGGCUUCUAGUACGGAGAGGUAGGGCAGCCCCUCAAACCUUCCAUCCUUUCCUCACAAAAACUCGAGGAUUUUCAGUGUGUCGCUCAUGUAGUAUAUCUGGAUCAAAAGCAGAGGAACUUCCUAUAGAAUUUCUUUUUGAGCAAUGCUACUGAGCAGCAUACUGCCUCAAAAGUGGAGGAGCUAGGGAUGCCAAUGAGUUGGAUGAAUAUCAGUCCAACCCGGUUCCAAAUCCGAGUUUUUCCAGAUCCGUUCAGAUUUAUUAAACUAACCUGAAAAAAGCGCAAAACUAGUGGAUUUUUUAUGCAAAUUGGCAUUCCAUGAACUAGCCAGUUAGGUAUGAANUGGCCCCCUAGGGUUGAGUGGAUGGUUGGUUGAAUAGAAUAAUCUAACGGAUGAAAAUGAUCAAAGGGUAGAUCUAACGGCAGAAAACUUGAUAGUAUCAGGAACUUGGUACAAUCGAUAGUAUAGUAGACGGACUAUAUAUAUAUAUAUAUAUAUAAUAUUUGUUUGCAAUGAUACAUAUACACCGAAAAGUAGGGCGUAAAUGUAUCAAACUAAGAUCUACAACCAAAGACGAGGUUGUAAUCUUACAACACCACCAUCCAUCCAGGGACCAAUAUUAUUAUUUCUUUUCCUCAUCACUCCCUUUUUCUUCUAGGGAGUAGUCUAAAUCCCGGGCCGGAGGGAGGGUCGUAAGAUUACAAUCCCUUUUUUGGUUGUAGACGUCAGUGUAUUUUUCCCAUUUUGAAGGAGACAUGCUAGGUCUUCGACCGAAAAGGAGAGGCACCCUUUCGCAAAACAUAAGAGAGAGUAGUAGCAGUAGCAGCAGCAGCAGCAGUAGUAGAAGAAGAAGAAGAAGAAGAAGAAGAGGGAGCAUAGCAUCACAAGGGGCAACAUCAGUUUUUGGGAACCCUGUAGCUUUUACUGGAAGAGGAGAAACGGCUAGCAGCUUACCAAGUAACAUCACCUCCUACUUAUUUUGUAUGCUAGAGAGAGAUCUAGAGAGAGAGAGAGAGAGCGUGUGUGUGUGUGAGAGAGAUCUAUAGAGAGAGAGAGAGAGAGAGUGUGUGUGUGUGUGUGUGUGUGUGUGAGAGAGAGAGAGAGAGAGAGAGAGAGAGAGGGUUUUUGAGGAGAGAGAGAGAGAGAGAGAGAGGAAACCCUUUGUUGUUGCGGAGGAGAGAGCACCAACUGGGCCUGAGGAGGAAGAGGAGCACUCGAUCGAUCCCCUCCCCUCCCACUGUGGAGGAAUUCUACACUGUCACACCUGCACCACGUUGUAUUCUAGAAUUUUUCCCCACUCUGCCGUUUGCCCUGGAACCCAUUUUCUGGUUAUAUAUUCCCGUGGGAAGGGAAAACACAGAGUCAAGCAAUUACAAGGCUUAAGCACUAUCAUCUAUACAUUUAAAUAAGGAAUUGAGUUCCUGUACUUUUAAUAGUAUCAUCAUGUCAUAUAUAUAUAUAUAUAACCUUUAAACUAAAAAUAUAUAUAAUUAGAAUGGUUAUAGUCUUCUAAAAUUAAAUAGAUAGUUGAUUAAAUAAUAUAAUUUAAUCAAUGAAAAUAAAAAAUAGAUAUAACCACAGAAAAUUUAUAAAUACCAAAUGCACGGUGCUUGAACUCCUAAAUAAACAUACUAUUAUUACUUGAUAUUCCUUCAAAGCUGCACAGUAAUUUUUCCUUUCUCCUCUCCCCCAUGCGCCUUUCUGUCUCUCUCCUAUGUGUGUGUGUGUGUCUCUCUCUCUCUCUCUCUCUCUUGGCGAUAUUGUAUCCCUUCUAUAUCUCUCUCUCCUCGAUCUUAUCACUUUUUUCUUUUUUCUCUCUCCUCCUCCUCCUCCCGUGCUUCUCGCUCUCUCUUUCCUUCAUUUGACCUUUCUUGUUCUCCCUGAUUUUUGACCGGUUAUAAUUGAAUUGAUCAUUAUGAUGAAAUUUUUUGUAACUGACUGUGUUUUAACUUUGCCUAUAGAGAUAAAUCUAGGUUAGAGGUGGGAUUGCCCUAACCUCUGAUGCGACCCAACUUUUUUUUUUAAUAGUUUUCUUUUAUUAAACAAGUUCAAAUUUAAAUAUCUGUUAUUUAGGAAUAUAAUUAGGGAUAGUCAAUUAUCUUGUUAGGAAAUGGUUAGAAGUAGUUGAACUCUAUAUAAUGUAACCGGGGCGUUACAAGAAACUAUCAAGUAAAAUUAUCUCUUUUCCCUCAUAUCUUGUCCCUACCUCUCAAUUUCUUAAUUCUCUGGAGGCUCGAUCCCCUCGAAGUGAUCGUUUAUCCCUAUUGAUACGGUAGGAUCGUAUCAACCUCUCUCUCUUCUCCUCUUUACCUUAUUUGUGCCUCUCUCUCUCUUCUUCUCCUAUGUCUUUCUUUCGCCAAGCUUUUUUCUCUCCUCCGAUACUGGUCUUUUUCUGUUUGCUCUUCUCGCCCUAUUUCUGGAGCAUUCAAAAAUUAUUAUUUUACAAAAUUUUAUGGGGAAUGCAAAAUAUAUAUUUAGAUUGUCAUGAGAUAGGGUCCCUAUAUUUCUCUCUUAUACUUCUACUUUGCUGGGAGAGAGAAAUGAUUCUAUUAAGAAGUGCUGAUUAGACAGUGACAACUAAACAUCUUUUAUAAUAAAUUCAUUGUGAACUUCCAUCAAUUUUCUUUUUAAUUUUUUUCUGCUACUUUUUAAAUAUUUUCUUUUUCUUAUCAAAACACACUGAACAUUCCUGCUGCAACUUUCAACCAGUUUUAAUAAUAUUUUUGAAAACAAUAAUAACUCAAGAUAGGAAUUUUUUUUUAAAAAAAAAAAAAACCUAAAAUACAGUAUGAUGAUAUAAUGAAACUAAGCCUAGAUCUUUUGACCCAAACCAGUCCAUUCCAGUAAGUGCCCUCUUAUACCCAUCCAUCCUUACAUAAAGAGUUACAAAUAACCCAGCAAAAUUUGCAACCAAACUACUAAUUGAAGAUACAAUGCUUGAAACUGAGAGGCUAUUUACAAUUUUGGAUACAGAGCUUGCAACAAGAACCGAAAUGUAAGGAUCUGGUAGAAACAAUUAAAAGAUUGCAGACCAACCGAUAAUAACAAAGAAAGUUCGCAAAAUCCUUGAGCAGUCUGUCAAUACAAGUACAUAGCACAAAACAAAAGCAUAGACUCCUUUUCCUUUCUUCAGUAUUAGAUCACGGCUCACUUCCGCCAUUGAAUGAUGAAAUAAGCUGAUCCCUUGCAGCUGAUUUCUCGCAUCCCUUCGUCACAUCCAAAUCAGACUGCUCGAAGGGCACCAUCGUAGCUGCCUUUGCCACUGUAAACUACAUAACUGUUGAGUUCAUUAAUCAUCGUCACAUCUGUAGAUGUAAAUAUACAUUUAUAUGUACAAAUAUACGUAUGUACGAAUGUACAUACACAUAGACAAAUGGAAGUAAUGCGGUUGGUGAUGUAGAAAUUACUAAGUACUAUAUCAACAUGACAUCAUCAUCCAGCUACUUAAAUGGGACUAUAAAGCUUGAUUGCAACAAUUUAUAGAGUUCGAGCAAAAAAUUUCAAUAAAUUAAAAUAUGAGGACAAAAGUGUCACCCACCUUACAGUUCGAGGGCCCAAGUAUAAUUUUGCCUAUACACAUAUAUGCAUAAACGCAAGCAAACAUAGACAAGAUGCAGGGAAAAGAGACAGAUUAACUGUUGCAAACACUGAAAGAGAGUUCAUUCCCGGAAAAUCCAUACAAAUGUAAGUGACAUACCCCGAAUUUGUUGAUGAAUAGGUAUUCGAGUCAGAAAAUCUCACAAUGAGAAUGAAGAUGCAAAAACUGAAAAAGGUGAAAAAUUGCAAAACAGAAAAAAUUAUAUUUUACAUGGGAAAAAAAACUAAAAUAAUAAGGACAAUUUCACACGCAGAGUACUGCUCUCAAUUUAGCUAACUUGAUUUUGAAGGGAAAAUGGAGGCUCAGAUUGAUCCAUCUAUCAAGCAUGACAAUUUAAUGCUAGGGAUAAAAGCACCAGAACCACCCGAACUUUAACCUGCUACCACUUGUUUUGGGGAUAAGUGCAGAAAAGACUGUCUAAACUUCAGCUACCUUGCACAGAAACCACAAGAAUAUUUACCAUUUCUGCAAAUUGCCAUCUAAACUUGAAAUUUUCAUACCUAGCACCCAAACAUUCAAAUAUAUUAUAUUAACAACUUUAUUUUCAAACAAGAAAACUCCCCUUUGUUUCUUGAUCAUCGAACUAAUAGCCAUUGCUCCAAACAGGAAAUCUCCUUGAUUCAUUGGAAACAAUCAAGUAAUUAGGAUGCCGAACAUAAAAUUUUCCAAAGUUUCAAUAAAUACCUGCAGAUGGGCAGAGCUUCAGGUAGCUCCGGUGCAGUUGGCCCUUAACUUUGUGUCUCUCCAUCUCUAUUGGACCUAAAAGCAGGGGCAAAUGGUUGCCUGAGAGGCAACAGACCAGCCAAAAAUUGCCCUGCCAAAAUUUUAGAACCAUAGCGCAUGGAGAGAAAAGAGCAGUAUGAACAGAGAAAACUUCGAAAAUCCAAAACCCUAAACCUCAUACGCUAAUCAGAUAUCAAAACUCAAGCUUGCAAGGCAAAAUUGUCAAAGCAAACCUUUCUACAGUGGACCAAAAUCAUCAUUGCCUCAAAGAGAGAAAAAAGAAAGGGUAUCCAGCAGCGAUAGCAGCGGCAGCAGCAAAGAAAUUAGCAAAAGCAUAACAAUGCUCUUAAAAUGGCAUUAAGCUUAAGAAUCCUUCAGCGUAAACAUUGUACAUCCUAUCAGAUCCAACAUGGUGGACAAGGACUAGGCAAUAAUUUCUCAGACAGCAUGGCUUAAUGGUCAACAAAAGUCGUGAUCAGCUUCUGUUGGGCUCCGCCACACUCUUGGUAGAAAAAGCCCCUAAGCCACCGUUUGGUUCGGGGUUGAGUAAAAACUUGUUAUUCCAGGAAUAGAGUUAAAUUCAGGGUUAAGGUGGGGUUAGAGUAAUUUUGUGUUUGGUUGAGAAUUGGGUAUAGUCUAGGUAUAGGUAAAAUAGUAUUUGGUUGGAGUAGAUGGGAUAAGAAGGAUAGUGGAUAAAACAGUGUUUUGUUUGGUUGGAGUAGUGGAGUGGGGUGGGGUUAGCUAACCCAACCCUCCAAAUUGGGUGUUUGGGAAUAACUUCGGGGUUAAGGGGUUAUUCCACCCCUUAACCCCGAACCAAACGGGUGCUAAGAGAACAGGACUCCUCAAAGUAUAGUAUAUGAAAAUACAGAAAACGAAUUAUGAAUUCUUCAUCUCAAAGUAUAGCAUGAAAAUACAGAAAACAAAUUAUGAAUUCUUCAAUGAGGCAGUGUAGAGAAAUAAAACGUGAAGAUUCAGAUUACCCCGUCAAUAGGACGAGAAAUCCAGAAUUUCCUCCAUAAGAUGAACAUACGGAUAGGCAAUGCAGAGACUUACAUAUGCACCAGGGUGUAGGCAGCAAUUUUUCACAGUUUUGCGACUUGCUAUCUCUCCAGGCCUGAAGAGUGGCUGCAAACGGUUGCCUGCUAAACACAGACCAACCGAAAUUUGCCUUGCCCCUCAAUACACAGGAGAAAAUAGCAGCAUAUACAAAACGUGCACCAAAACUCCAAACCCUGAAACAAAGUACGAAAUCCAGAUUCCAGGAUCUGCAUUAACAAACCUGCAGUCCAAAUCACGUAACAUCCUUCUGGGCGUGCCAAAGCUUCUACGAGAAAGAAAAAGAGAAUACAGCAGAACCAGCAAAGAAAGGCAAGAUGAAAGACAAAGAAAACAAGAAGAGGAAAGAAUAAGAGAAAGGACUCGAGAUUCCAAAAGAAGAAUCACCGGCCAUGGGAGUGAUGAUAGAGAGAGCAAAGGAAGCAAAUCCAUCUCUCUAAUUCUCUUGAAAUCACUCCAAUGGGAAGAAUACACUACCACAGCCCACGACAUGGUGCAGGCAAUACUUUCUCCUCUCCACACCAUAAGAAUAAUAUGGAUAUUCGGAUCUACAGGGUGCAGGCAAUAAUUUCUCAUAGUUGUGAGGGACUCCAUACAUUUUUACAUUAAAAUAACUAAAAAAGAUAGAUUUCUUGAAAUAAAUUUCUAUUAGAUUAUAGAAACAAGUGCCUUCAAAAACCAUCAUGAUAACAACUAAACUAUAAAUUAUUGGCUAUUUAUUAUUAGCUAAAAUAAGUCCAAUUUCCUAUCCCAUGAUAAUAUGCCCAAAAGACUAAUAAGUUGAGUUGGAUAAGCCCAACAAGUUGAGGGAGACUGCAAUCCGCAAUACACCUAACAGCAAGAGGCCCAACAAUAGACAUAACAUCCAGGUGAUGCAAGUCAAGUCGAAGCCGGUGAGCGCUAUAGUUGAGCCCUUAAGUGCGAUGGAUAUGCCCUUCCUAUUAGGGCUUGCUUUUUGGAUAGUUGGUUAGCGCUUACGAUCCAUAUCCAUAUACAUAAGUGAAAAAAAGGAAAAUAUUUUGUGAAAAGCAUUGAAUCCAAAACAAAUGCAUACAUCUCUUUGGAGAUAUCUGAUAAAAUGGAAUGAUAUAGAGAAGAUUAGCAUGGCCCCUGCACAAGGAUGACACGCACAGAUCAAGUCAAUGCACACGAUUUAAUCAUGAACAGAGGUACUCACAGUCCACUACACUGCCGCAAGCAAAUGGAUCUUUUACAACAAUGAAACACAUUUAGUUUGCAUUAGAAGCUCCAUUAAGGAAAAUACUGCAAAAGUCAAAGGGAAAGGUAUUACAAAGAAAUGUGAAGUCCAAAGCUCCGAUCAAAACAAGUUACAUGUUAAGUUUAUAAUUGGCAGUUAUUAAUAUUAUAGUAACUCUAUAGAGUUGAUCACAUUGCUGAAGAGAGGAUGAGAUUGCGAAGAUAGCUCAGAUUCGCCCUUUGAUUGAUCACAUAGAUCACUCCCCUCUCCGCCCAUUCAAAUCAAACACUUAAUGAUGAAUGGCUGCAGCAGUCACACUGACCCAUCCAAGCUACCUUGCCAUUACAGUCACCAUUUUCUUAACGUGUGUGUGUACCUAUGCAUAUGUAGGGACAUACACACACGCGCGCACACGCACACACACAAAAACAAACACGCACACACACACACACACACAAUAGGUCCGUCUUGCAUGCAUGCAAACAAAAACAAACACGCACACACACACACACACACACACACACACACACAUAAUCAAUUUAUCUAUCUACCCAUCCAACCAUCGAUAAUAUACAAGGAGCGGUAAAGAGUGACUACACUCAAAUCAUUGCCUGCCAAACUGCAGCAAGAAACACAAAAUGUGGUUUGUUACACAAAAUUUUAACAAGUGAACUUUGUGUGCUAAACUUGUAAUCUUUAAACACAUUUAGGCCUGCAAAGGUCGCAAUCAAGGGGUGAAAAAAAGAAAAAAAGGUGCCAAAAAGUUGUAAAACUAAGAAAAGGUAAACCUUUUAUUCAAAUGGCAUAAAGAAAAAGGCCAACUUAAUACAUAGUAAAAGGUAAAAUUCUUGUCAUACUCAACUGGCUAUAAGAGACAGGUGAGGAUGGCUCAGAUAUUGGCCCAUCAAUCAAGCGUAACGAUUGCUUAAACUCCUCAAUAUUGAAGUAAAUGACAAUGCUAUAAAAAAGUACAGGGCAAUCUUCUGAACCAACAAACUAUUUUUAGUUGUCACCAUUCUUUUCAUCUUCAUUGGCCUAAAAGUGGUUGCAAAUUGUUGAUUACGUAGAAGACCAGCCGAAAUUUGCCUUGCCAACAUAUUAAUGCCUUAGAUGACGAGAAAAGAGAAGUGAGCACACAAAGUGUCAAAACCCAAAACCCUAAACCCCAAAACAUAAACCGAAGAUUGAUAUGAAUGACUAAGCAAUUCCGCACCAUAAAAUUAGGAAAAUAUCCUUUGCUCAGGCCAAAAUCAUCAUUGCCUUGAAUAGAAUAGAAAAGAGAAGUAAAAGGUACCCAUCAGCAGAAGGGGCAAAGAGGGAAGCACGUCCUUAUAAUUAGGGGUGUUCAUGGGAAUCGAAGAAGCCGAAAGCAUAACUGAACCAAAGUUUCUUUUUUCUUUCUUCCCAACACAUGUUUGAUUCCAGUACACAGAAUUCCAAAAACCAGAUUUUCUGGUUCGGUUAUGUUUUGCAUUUUUUCUCCACAAAGUAAAAAAUAAAUAAAUAAAUAAAAAUCAGAAAAACAGUUAACCCAUCCGAACCAGUUUGGUUCAUAAACAUCUAAAGUUGUUCCAAUUCACUUUUCUUUGGUCCUUCUAGUUCAAAAGCAAAGCCCCUACCAAUCUAGGGUUUCAAGAUCACCAACCUUUAUCACAUCUCCUCCUUCGACGCGCCCCUUCUCCUCUGGUGGCUCCCCCACCAAACCAUCUCUCUCUCUCACUUAAAUCUUAUUCGCCACCUGCUCACUCUUAGACACCACCGUCAACACUGUCAAUGCCAAACAGGCUAACCAGUUUGCCAUACCGGUUGAAACCAAAAAACUGGUGGUUUUGCAACCUGUUCAUAUUUUGUCCAAACCGGUCCAGUUAAUUAGACUGGUUUCACCCCUACUUAUAAUGAACAUACAAAGUAGAUAUGAUUGCUUUGAGGAAAGUUUGUGAGGAGGCCUUCAAACUUUCAUCCACGCAACACAUAACUUGCUACUCAUAAUGAACAUGUUAGGGCAUAAAAAAUAUAAAAGUUUUUCCCUAACAUUUCCAAAUCAGAUCCAGGAAAAGGGAGAUAAAAAAAAAAGAGAUCCAAAACUAGAUUAAUAAGAAUAAAAAAUACCGAAGUGCCUGUGAAGCAUCUCCUAGAGAGAGAUUGCAACUAAAGGAAACAAGACAUGGCUUCAGAUCUAACGAAGUUUGCAACACAUCUGUAAACAAUAUGUGAAAAAGAAGCAUAAACACUCCCUAAAUCGACAAAAAAAGGAAAAAAGUACCUCCAAAUCGGAUCUAACUUCAGUUCGAAAACAAUGAGUUUUAGCGAGAGAGAAGUGAUUAAAUAUGUAUGCGAAAAUGGCGAAUGGAGGGAAGGAGAUCACAAAGAUUACCUGGGAGGACGAAGUAGUAGAAGAGGAUAGGUGUUCGUGCGAGAGAGAGAGAGAGCAGCGUGCAACAAUACUCGCCUUCAGUAAUCCAAUAUACGCACCCCCCCCCUCCCCCCUUCGGUAAUAUUUUCGGUGUAAUCUUACACCUUUUGUUAUGCUGAAAUACCAAAUAGAUUACAUAUUGAAUGAACCAAAUGCAGUAAUCCUGACAGGAUUGCAUGUAAUCCUGCAAGGAUAACCGAACCAAACGCACCCUUUAUGUAAUGCUUCUAAAUCAUGCCUGACAUGGUGGACCAAAUCCAGCCAAUAAUUUCUCAAAGAGUAGGGCUGCCAAAUUAACUUACUCUUGCAAACAGCUUGUGUGUAGCUUGAAGCUCAAUUGAGUUGAUUACAUUGGCUGCUUUAAGAAAUAAGCUGAGCAUGAGAUAGGAGUGAAAACGGAUACAAAUCAGCAAAGUAGAUAAAUCAUAUCUGCACCUAUAUUCCAUAUUUCUUUUCCAAAUUCUUUUGUUUUUCCCCCUUCUCCUGAAUAUGGAAACAGAAGAUAUGUGGAUUCUAAAGUUGGAAAUCAUAUUUGAAUAAAAAGCUACAGAAUAAAACUAAAACUUGAUAUAACAUAAUUGUACUAUAAAUAUGUAACAUAUCUUGAAAAAGUGUAAAAUAAAUCAAUAAGGAACUCAUACAAAGAUUCAAGGGAAACAAGCAAUAAAAGAAGAAAACCAGGAAGUAUGCCUCUCACAAAACACAAAACCCUCACACUACCAACAUCAAAAGGUUAUCUGGAAAAAAAGGAAUAAAGAUCAAGUAGCACAAGAAGCUACAGAAUGGUUUAUAAAAGUGGAAACUUCGACAGAUUAAACUCUCGAGAUUGAGACCAACUGCAACAGAUUUAAUGCCUUCCUAUUCAGUUUCAAAGCUAAGCAUAUCCAACUACAACAGAUUAAGCUCUCGAGAGUCAAGACCAACUGAAAAUUCACGUAAGUUCAGGUACCAAUAGUGCAAUUUACCCAAAUAAAGCAUUAAAGCUGAACACCCCAAAUCCUGAUUUCGAGAACUAAACCAGCAAGCCUGCAUCCCCAAGUUAGGGUACUGUCUUUUUGGGUGGGCCAAGAACUAGAAACACAGAUGGAGAUACAAUGAGAUUGGAGGAAGGGAGGCUCAGAUUCACCACUGAUUGAUCAAAUAAACAAAUCUCCUCUCUCUCUCUCUCUCUCACUUUCUCUCUAUCUCCCACACUUCUUGUUCAAGUAAAACUCUUCAUAAGGGCAAAGGGCUGCAGCAGUUGCACUCAUGCCAUACAAGCUGCCUUGCCAUCAUGACCUUCGAGAUAGUAUGGUGUCAUCAAUCAUCAUUGCCUCCCUGUUGUGGACAUUAUGUCAACUUACAUACAUUUAUACAUAUACGUUAUACACAAGAAGGGGCAAGCAAGAGAGCUUAAUCAAUCCAUCACCUCCAACCUGAGGCAGAAACAAAAAUAAGCCGUUCAAUAGCACAAAACCCUCAAAAAUGAAAAUGUAUCCAAAAUUUGAAAAUCGACAAUUAACUUGUCAAAGGUUCUAGGGUUAACUUCAUAUGUAGUUCCUGAAAUCCGACCAUUAUUUCCAUUUUGGCCUUUAAGUAGGCCAAAAACAUCAUUGCCUUUCAAAAAGGAAAAGAUAAGAAGCGAAGAAGGAAGUAAGAAGGGCUCAACAAUGCACUUAUAACAGCAAUGAUAACCACAGGCUGUUAAUAACAAGAGGUAGGGAAGCUGUUCAAACCUUCCAUCCUUCCCUCACAAAAACUCGAGGAUUUUCAGUGUGUCGCUCAAAUGUUGUCUGGGUCCAUUUUAAUGCAUCAAAAGCAGAGGAGCUGCCUUUAGAAUUUCUUUUUGAGCAAUGCUAUGAAGUUAGGGAAGCAAAUGGGUUGCAUAAUAUCCGUCCAACCAAGCUUCCAAAUCUGAAUUUUUCCAUCUCUCCUGGCCUGAAGAGUGGCUGCAAAUGGUUGCUUGCUAAAACACAGACCAACCAAAUUUGCCUUGCCCCUCAACAGGAGGAAAUAGCAGCUUGUACAAAAACCAUACCAAAGCUGCAGACUGUGAACCACAAACCUUGAACCCAGAUUACCGACCGUCCCUAGCGCAGGAAGCACUGAGCCAUAUGCUUAAGUUUUUUAUUUUUUUUAAUAGAAAAAAGGAAAAGAUGUUGCGAAGUUUUGAAAUCCAACAAAAUCAGUCAAACUGCACACAUCGCUUCAGAGACAUCUGAUAAAUUGGAACAAUACAGAGAAGAUUAGCAUGGUCCCUGCAGAUCCAGCCAAUAAUCUUCCAAGAGUAGGGCUGCAAUCAAGUUAACACAAUUGACUACUUUCGGAAACAAGCUGAGAAUGUGCUAGGGGUGAAAAUGGAUCGAACACAAAUCAGCAGAGUAGCUAAACCAUAUCUACAUCCAUAUUGCAUAGUUCUUUUCCAAAUUCUUGCUUUAUUUUUUAUUUUUUAUAUUGGAAAUCAAGUUUAAUAACAUAUAUUAAAAUAUCUACAAUGUUCUUCAAAACUUCAAAAAACUUUAUUUACCCCUGGAGGACCAACAUACCCUUAUUGAUUUCAAAAAAUUCAUUCAUAUAUCCCCUAGAGGAAAUGGGGAUAUAUGAAUGAAUUUUUUAUUUUUUAUAUUGGAAAUCAAGUUUAAUAACAUAUAUUAAAAUAUCUACAAUGUUCUUCAAAACUUCAAAAAACUUUAUUUACCCCUGGAGGACCAACAUACCCUUAUUGAUUUCAAAAAAUUCAUUCAUAUAUCCCCAUUUCCUCUAGGGUUUACAAUGGGUUGGUUUUAAAAGGAUACUUUGGUAAGUUUAGGGUAAAUUUGAAAAUUUUGAGUAAGACCCUCAAGAAAAUUUACAACAAAUCAAUAGAUACAAGGAUUUAAGGAAAACAAGUAAUAAAAGAAGCUAAGAAUUAAUAUGCCAGCUACAAAACACAAAACCCUCAGCCUAACAAGAUAAAGCAGCUGUCUGGGAAAAGAAAGAAAGAAGGAAAAGUAGAAAGCAGCUGCAGAAUUGUUUAAUAAAAGUGGAAAUGUCAACAGAUAAAAAUAAUUGAAAGAAAAGGAAGAGGAUGGUGGAAGGGACAUCAAAUUCAUCUUUGUUUGGUCAAAUAAAUAGGGAUAAUUUCAUAUGCACCCUUUAGUCCAUUAAAUCUUCAAUCAACCCACCCACUCAACCAUAGGACCGCUAUUAUCCUAACCGCACAUCCCUUCAUCCAAGGGCCAAAAACCUAAUAGCAACAAUGACUUAGUGCUAUUAAUAGUAUAGUACCCUAGUUCUACAUAUAUAUAUAUAUAUCCUCUCCGCCACAAUGAAGCCCCUCCUGUAGGCAAACAGCUGCAGCGGGUGCACUAAUGCCAUCCAAAGCUGCCAGCCAUCAUAAGCUUCAAUAUGGGAUCUGAAAGGGAGAAGGGUCGAGGAAACAAUUUCUCCAACCCCACGAAUGGUGAACAGAUGUAUAUAUGGAUGCAACUGGUGCAAGCAAUAAUUUCACAUAGACAGGGACAUGUUCACACAUUUUUACGAAAAUAUCCUUCGAGGAGAAUAUUUGGCUUCCCAAGCUUAUAAACAAUUGAUAGCAACAAGGUAUUGCAUGGAGCUAUGCACCAAAACAAUACAAAUCACCUUACAUACAUGCAUCUCCCACCAGCCUAACAAUGCGCAAAUUUUAAAUGGUAGUCUGCAAAGAAGCGUCUUGCCAACCAUGCAACAACUUCAGCAUAUUAUAAGAAAGAGAAAUAUGCAAAAAUAAUGGGUCAAAUUGCAAAUCCAAAACCCCAACCCAAGCCCAAGAUGAAAGGUAGUAAGUUUACAUUCCAGACACAGAAAACCCCAAUAACUUGGCCGAGGCAAUAAUUUCUCCAAAUGUAGGGCUGUCAAUUGAGUCGUUUGCUUUCAAACAACUUAUAUUCAGCUUGUGUUACGCUUAACCACCCUUCUCUUUUUACAAGAGAAACAUCAAAGAAAACACCUCAAAAAACACUUCUUCAAAUACUUAAAAAGAAGCAAAACGAAUUAUAAAUUCGUCAAUCAAGCCGAGAUAAUAAUAAUUAAAAUCUUUUUACAAGAGAAACGUCAAAGAAAACACCUCAAAAAACACUUCUUCAAAUACUUAAAAAGAAGCAAAACGAAUUAUAAAUUCGUCAAUCAAGCCGAGAUAAUAAUAAUUAAAAUCUUUUUACAAGAGAAACGUCAAAGAAAACACCUCAAAAAACACUUCUUCAAAUACUUAAAAAGAAGCAAAACGAAUUAUAAAUUCGUCAAUCAAGCCGAGAUAAUAAUAAUUAAAAUCUUUUUACAAGAGAAACGUCAAAGAAAACACCUCAAAAAACACUUCUUCAAAUACUUAAAAAGAAGCAAAACGAAUUAUAAAUUCGUCAAUCAAGCCGAGAUAAUAAUAAUUAAAAUCUUUUUACAAGAGAAACGUCAAAGAAAACACCUCAAAAAACACUUCUUCAAAUACUUAAAAAGAAGCAAAACGAAUUAUAAAUUCGUCAAUCAAGCCGAGAUAAUAAUAAUUAAAGAUAAGGCUCAGUUUGGCCCAACUGCCAGAUAUGAAAAUAUCAGUAUUUUCUCCAUAAAGUGGAGGGUGAAUGAGCGGACAACAUGCAGACGUACAGAUACACCAGGUGCAUGCAAUAAUUUUAUUGGUAGUUCUGUUACUCAUAGUCACCAUCUCUUCAGCCUAAAGAAUGGCUGCAAAUGGUUGCCUGCUAAGAAACAGAUUAACAGACCAGCCAAAUUUGCAUUACCCACUCAGUAGACACAAGAAAAUAACAGUGCUCCAAUAUAAAGCUCAAAAACUCCAAACCCAGAGCCCACAAAUCAGAAUAUGGGGAUCUAAAUUGACUCUGUGUCACAAAUUGGGUAGAAUUUUUUUUAUAAGUAAUCCUAUCAAUUUUAUAAUUAUAAAAAUAAUUUCUUAAAAAAAAUAAUUAUAAAAAUAGACUUCUAAAUGCGGUGAAUGAUUUACCGCAUUUAUAACUCCUCAUUAGGGGUAGAAAAAGAAUAAAAGCGGUGAACCAUUCACCGCUUUUACCAUCGUAGAAAUAUAAAAAAAAGUGAGAAAAUGAAAGAAAGCGGUGAAUGGUUCACCGCUUUUAAAAGCGGUGAACCAUUUACCGCUUUUAUAGGACCAUAUUAAUAAAUAAAAAUUUAAUAGAUCUAUUUUUAGAAUAAAAUUUUAGGAGAAGACUAUUGAACUAAAAAACCCCUCUUGGUGGGCCAAAAUCAUCACCGCCUCAAAAAGAAAAGAAAAGAAAAGAGAAUAAAUCUUGCAGAAGUAGCAAUGAAAGGUAAGGAAUGAAGAGCCAUGAAAUAAACAUACAAAGACAGGAAACAUUUUUGAAAAAAAACUCCCUUAUCCAUUUCCAAAUCCGAAUGAUAGCGCAGAUACACCACUUCAGAAUCAAACCUGAAGAAAUAUUGACACAUUGUAAAACUCAUGUUAUUUAUUAUCCGACCCAUUUCAUCCCUAGAAAUAGCCCUACAAAGUGAAAAAAAAAAAAAACGGACCACUUUGGUAGCCGCAACAUUGGUAAAAAGAAAAAGGACCACUUUGGUAGGAGCAAUAUCUGUAAAACAAGAGAGUCUCCAGUGCAAUGGUUAUAUGAACAGCACUCAGACUGAGUUGUGGUGCUCACACUGUGGAGAGCCAUCACACCUACAAGAUUUUCCAGAGUUUCCAUAUAACACAAUGACUUGGGGAAUGCCAGUGUGAUGCAGUACAAGAUUCCAUACAUUUUUACCAAAAAAAGAUAAAAAAAAGCAUUCAUCCUCUUUUAAUCCAUUCUGCCAAGUGGAUUGGACCAUAACUCACGCAUGGAAUUGUGCAAGUAAUCAUUUCUCCUCUCCCAUGGGCAAUAUGUGCACAGAGUGCAGGCAAUAAUUUCUCAUAAAUGAGGGGACUUAAUACAUUUUAACCAAAAAAUCUCAAAAUUAAAUAACAUAAUCUUUUUUUUUAUCUUAAUAAUAUCAUGGCAACCACUAAACAUGAAAUAAGACAUAUGCAGGAACAAGUAGAAUAUGAAAAGAUUUUGCAGAAAACGAAAGUAUUACAAGAUAUCAGCUAAAUAAAUAUAAUUUAGAUAUCAACAUAAAUAAACAUACUCCAAUAGAUUGACAAAAGCAGAUGAACUUUUAGAAAAAAAUACCAACAUUAAACAGCAUUAAAAGCUCAAAAAAGAACACAAGUACAAAAAAAUGAAGACAAAUAGUAAGAAACCUUAUUUCCAACAUCUCAGUACCAAAGCCCAAACCACUAGUCGAACAGGAUCGAAUUAAAAUACAAACCCUCCCAAUGCCAGAAAUUAUCAAAAUAGUAAUGUUAUAUAGUAGAAAACAAAGCAGGAGAUUGGAUGAGAUUGUGCAGGGAACUCAUAUUCGCGUUUUAUUGAUCAGAGAUAUAUCUCUCUAGCCUGCCCUCUGCACUUGUCCAAAUCAAACCCUCCUAAGUUUGAAUGGCGGCAACAGAUGUGAUCGCGCCAACCAAGCUGCCAUGCCAUUACAACCUUAAUAGAGAAUGAAGUUCACAAUCAUCAUCACCUCCUCAACUUGCAUAUCUAUGUAUGUACAUGCACCGAUACUUACAUAAUAUGUGCAGACUUCCAAAAUAUAUAUACUAGAAAAGGUAGCGAAGAGUGAUUAUGAUCCAAACUAAUUCAAAAUUAGAAUAAUAUGGGUAAACUUUAUUAAUUAACAGUUAUUGAGGUCAGAAAAGGUCGCAACCGAGCAGAGGAAGCAAAAGAAUUUUUUUUUCAGAAAGCUGCAAAAAUGAGAAGAUGUGUGUUUUGUCUUAUUCAAAAUGAGAUAUGGAAAAGGCCAAUUUAAUACGCCAGUCACCAGUUGGCUUGAUUUGGUUUCAGAGUGUAUUCAGUUCCACGCUCGCCCCUAUGUCAGUUCAUGAAAAAAUAGAUUUCUUGUUAUACACAACUACGUUUAGAGAAUUAUCAGAAUGGCCCAUCAACAAGACAUGAUGACUGCUUAAGCUCGUCAACUUUGAAGCAGAUGACAACAAUAUAAUUAGAGUUAGGGCCAUCUUCUAGACAAUAAACUGUCUUUACUUGAACAACCAUUUACAAAUUCUUGAAGGGCAUAUUUCAAAAAGGCCAAUUGUUGAGGGGUUCUUAGUACAUACAUACAUUUAUUUAUACGUCUCUCCAACUCUAUCAGCCUAAAAGUGGGUGCAAUGGUUGCCAAAGAAGAAAUGAACCACCCAAAAUUUGCCUUGCCAACAAAUUAGAACUGUAGCAAAUGGAGAGAAAUGAGUAGUGUGUACAAAUAAAGCAUCAAAAUCCAAACCCUAGACCCCAAACCUUAAAUCCGAGAACUAGAAAUUCCGCAUGACAAAAUAAGCACAGUACCCUUUCAGGCAGACCAAAAUCAUCAUUGCCUCAAAGUGAAAGCAAGAAAGAAGAAGGGGUAUCUAGAGGCAACAAAAGAAUGGGCCAUAAAAUGAACUUACAGUGGAGAUAGGAUCCACGGAUUGCUGUUCUCAGGAGGAAAGGUGAGGCAGCCCUUUCAACCUUCCAUCUUCCCCUCCCAAAAGCUUAAGAAAUUUCAAUGUGACACAUUUCACACCCAACGUGGUGGACCAGGUCUAGGCACUAAUUUCUCCAAAUAUAGGGCUGUCAGUUUAGCUCAUUGCUAAACAGCUCACACUAGGCUGAGUCUCCUUUCCCAAAAAGCCCAAAAAGAAAAGCCCAAAAAGAAACACUACAAAAAGACCAAUCGAAAUACCAAAAUAGAGAGUUUUUCUCUGUACAAUGGAGGAAAGAUAGAUAUGUUAUGAACAGAUAUACAGAUACACCAGGUGCAAGCAAUAAUUUCUUGUUGUUCCACAAUUCCUCAUCUCUGCUAGCCUGAAAGGUGGCUGCAAAUGGUUGCCUUGUAGGAAGAAGGCCAGCCAUAAUUUGCUGAACCACUCAGUAGAGAGUAGAAAAUUGCCGUUCAUAAGGUAAAACACUAAAACGCCAAACUCUGAACCCCAAAUCUGAUCUCCGGGAUUUAUAUCAAUGAGUCUUCAUCCAAAUCAGGUAAUCACCCUUUGGGCAGGCCAAUAUCAUCAUACCCUCAAUGAGAAAGAAAAAGAGAAAACAGGUAUCCAGCAGAAAUAGUCAAAAAUGAGGCAAAAAAAAAAAAAAGGAAAAGGAAGACAAAAAGGGGGGAGGAAAUCCCAAAACAGAAAUCGCAAGAUGGCAAGAGCUUUACAUCAAAAACCACUCCUCUGUUACAAGAAAAGCCCAAAACAUAAAAUCCAAAAAACUCCUCUAAAUAUCAAAAAGAAGGGAAAGCAAAUGAUAUAUCCUUCAAUUCAAAUCUUCUGGACAUAAAGGGAAAGAAAAAAAGGCUCAGAUUGGCCCAUUUAUCAGACAUGAUAUUUUUUUUUCUUUUUUGAGAGAAAGGUAGCAAGCUACCUGCUUUGUUCAUUUAUCAGGCAUCAGAAUUGCAGUACCUUCUCUAUGAGAAGGACUAUAGAUGAAUGAGAUGUACUUAUACACCAAGUACAGGAAACGAUAUAUCGCAUAUAUAUAUCUCUCUCUCUCUCUCUUAGCCAGUCUAAAGAGUGGCUGCAAAUGGUUGCCUGACAAAAGACAGACCAACCAGAAAUUGCCAUGCCAAAUAUACUAGAACAUCAGGAGACGAGGAAAUAGCAGAGCAUACGGAGAAGAUUCAAAAAUCCAAAUGUAAAAUCCAACUCAAAUACAGAGGAGCAAGGAUCUAAAUUAACAAGUCUGCAUCCCAAAUCAGGUAAAUAUCCCUGUAGGUGGGCCAAAUCAUCAUAGCCUCGAAGAGAAAGGAAAAAGAGAACAAAAUUUAUCCAGAAGCAGAAGCAUAUAAUAAGACAAUGAUGUCUAAAGUGGUUGAAUAUAAUGCAAAUGGCAAAUCCGAAAAAUCAAAAAAGAAAAAAAGAAGUGAAACAAGAGGGAAGGCAAAUUGGCCUCCCCUCUCGUCCAGACCAGGUCCCUCCUAGUGACGAAUAGCUGCGGCUGUUGUCCAAACACCAUCCAAACUGCCUUCCAUAUAUUAACAUUCUGAGGUAUCCAUAGUAAUAUCCUUACAUUCCAUAACAGAGCUGAAAAGAGCUCAAAGAGAAGAAAUGGUAUUCAGCUUGAAAUUACCUACUAUUCUGUCAUGUAAUGGACUUGCUGCUCACCAUCGUCUCCUUUCUGAGUGUUUGUGUGAACGCAUAUGUGUACAUAUAUGUACAUAUAUAUAUGUACGCAUGCAAGUAUGUAUAUAUGUAUGUAUAUACAGAGAGGAAUCAACGGCCCGAAGGAACGACAGUGUGGGUAGCAUGAAAGCAAGGACGGAACAGCACAGGGAAGAAGGGCAGGAACAGAAAGUAAUUAAGAGGAGAGAGCAAUUGAAAGCUGAGAGAGAGAGAGAGAGAGAGAGAAUUUCAGGUCAUCUCCCAUUAAAGGAAAGCCACAGCAUAUCGCAAUCUCUCAGGAUUAAAGGUACAAGGUUAGUAAAGGAUAAAAUGUAUGGAUAGUCCCUAUACCUUUGCAAUAUUGCAACUUCGAUGCUGAUGCCAAAAGUGACAAGCUUAGUCAGCCACUCAUUUCUGAUAGCAGGAUGCAAAUGGUUGUCUGCAGAAAACAGACCAUCCAACAUUUGCCAUGCCUCUACAAGUGAGAAAAAGUAUGCUCCACUUUAUAGAAAUGCUCCACUUUAUAGAAAUGCUCCACUUUAUAGAAACGGGCCAUUCGUUUCACAUUUUGUGACAUUCCAGAAAUCCUCCAUACUAUCUAUUCAAGACAGUCAAAUCGUCACCGUGGAACUCAAUUUGCGAAGUAGUACGAGAUAUUGGUGAGGCGGUGGGGUCAUUCUAGAUUCCCAACAUAUAUACAAUACCUUGUAUUAGGAGUAGGGAUGCAAAUGGAUCCGGAUUGGUGGAGCUCCAGCGCCAAUCUGCCCCGAAUGGGGCAAUAAGUGGGGGACAAUAAAUGGAUUCCGGGCAGUAAACGAGCGGAAUUUUAUGACCCAAUAUGUGGGGGACAAUAAAGGAAUGGUAAAAACGUAUAGAACUUCUGAACUACGGACCAUUUUGAGUCAACUUUCCAACUUUCUUUCCAACUUUAACUACCCAACCUUUCAAUUUGUUUGAUUUGAGCUAAUUACUUGCAUCAAUGAGAAGAACGACGCAUUCAAAUUUUGAAGUCAAAGUGUGGUUAUCUGACUCAAAUCAAACAAAUCGAAAGGUCGGGUAGUAAAAUCAAAAUUUCAAAAGGUAGGAUAGCCGAUUCAAAAUGAUCCAUAGUAAUUCAAGGCAGGAUACUCUAAAAAAAUUGAUCCACCCCCGGAUCUGCCCUGAAUAAGCAUUUAAAUUAUAAGACAACUUCUAAUUUUUCUAGAAUAUUAUUUGAGUUUUAAAUGCACGAUAUUCCUAGAAUGCUAUAUACAAGUGAAAUGAACAAACCCUAAAGUCAAAAGUUUCAAAAAAUUUUAUAUUUAGCUAAAACCAUACUUUUAUACACUUCUUUUUUAUUAGAAACAGAAAUGCUAAUAUAAAAAAUAUACUAGUUUUUGAAACUAUAAAUCUAACUAGAUAGUUAAAAUCACAUUAGAUAACAACCUUCUCAUGUACCACAAUAAUAAGGAAUCGUCCAGUAAAAUAUAUAGAACAAACAUAUUGAGGGUCUCUUACAAAGCAGAGAGAAUGGAACUACAAUAGUUAUUAUAUCAUAUUCAAAAUAAUUCCAGCUAUGGGAGUGUGCACCUCUAUAUUUCCACACAGUAUCUUUGGCCAUAUCAAUAAUCCAAAGAUGUACUCAAAUACAAUUAGUAUCAAGUUUGAGGCAACAAUCAAAAUUAAAAUCAAGCAAAACUCAGACUUAUUACCCAGUUUGUUCUAACUCCUACUUGCCGGUGUUUUAAGAAUAAAAACGGAAAACACACAGCAUAAAAAUCCCUUAAUCCCAGAUCAAAAUAAACUCCUUUCGAACAAUGGAUUAAAUGAAUUUCAUUUCUAAGAGGGAUGUCAAGGAGUAGAUUCGACUCACUUAAAAAAGUAAGAAAAAGAAACCACAUUUGCCAACUAACAACAUAUCUAUCAUGACAACUGAAAUUGAACAGUUUUGUUGUUUUAAAAAAAAAUCAAACAUCAUAAAGUUCCUUGACUUGAAAAACCAAAAAAAACAAAUCCAAAACCAAUAGACUGAAACAAAUUAACUUUGUUAAUAUAACUAUUUUAAAAAAAAUAGAGUGAACCAAUAAAAAGAACAUAGAUAAUAUCAUUGGCAGAACAUGGAUUCAACUUGCGCUAAUCUUCCCCCUUUGACAGAAUAACUGAUCUUACUAGUAUAAAGAAAGUCCCACAGCAAUAAUAUAGCAAAUCAGGGAAAAUUUCUUGAAGUUAAAAACAGUCAGUAUCCUAAGGGGUCAGCCAAUCAAAAAAAAAUUUCUUAGUGUCAGAAGCUUACAAAGGAAUAAAGUUAGUGAAAAAAGACGGCAUAGAUUAAAGAAAAAAAUUAUACUGAACAGCAUCCCUAGACCAAAACCAAACACUCAUCCAAACGAAAUCUUAAAAAUAAAAUCUAAUUUCACAGAUAUUAAAAAAAUAGAAACUCCAAUAAGAAGAGUAGCGAUGAAAAUAGCCUGAGACUCAAGGACGAUAGUCUCACAUUUACCUUCCUUUACCAUUUGUACAAAUUUCACUCUCUCCCUCCCUCUGUUGACAUGUCCAAAUCAAACCAGUUCCAGUGGCAAAUGGAUGCAGCGGUUGCAAUACCCGGCAAGUGCACUCAUGCCAUCCAAGCUGCCUUGCCAUUACAACCUUCAAUAUAGAGUCCUCUAAAUAUGAGAAGAGUCAAACUAGCUAGCUGUGAGCACCAUUCAGUCUAAACUGAUUUACCAAACAAAACUAACUCAUUGCCAUUAAUUUGAUUAAUUUUACUAGAAAUUUGGUUCAGCUUAGUUUCAUUAAUUGACUGGAAAAAACCGAAACAAACAAAAUUCCUUGAAUUUUCAAUAAUUUGAUAAGUAAUAGUCUUUAGGUCGUGAGAAAAUAAUUAAAAAAUUUAACAAGCACUACCGCUAGAGUAAAGAGUUAGGAUAAGAUUAAUCAUAUUUAUAUGGGUAAACUUCAAAUACCACCCCUGUGGUUCCGCACUUUCUCACUUUUGUACAAUGUGGUUUAAAGUGUAUCAAGUUAGUGUCCUGUGGUUUCAUUUUUAUCUUUUCGUCAGCUUUUCCGUUAAUAUUUCGUUAAAUUAUAUACAAAAAAAACUUCAGAUACCCCACCUAGAUUUAUCGAAUAUUCACUUUAGUACCCUUUAGUUUUAACUUUGUCACUAAUUUAACGAAAAAAUUAGUGGAAUUAAUAAUGAAAAGAUAAAAAUGAAACCACAGGGUACUAAAGUGAGAAAGUGUGAAACUACAGGGGCGGUAUUUGAAGUUUUCCCUAUUUAUAUUUAUGUUUUGACAGUUUUAUGUAUAUUGGCCUAAAUGAAAGUUUGUAAACCUUACGGCUGUCUAGCUAAAAAAAAAAAAAAAAAAAAAAACCAUAACCCUCUUUGGGAGAUCAAAUAGCAAAAAGAACCUCAAACAACGAUUAACAAAAAUGGAGAAAUUCCACAAAUAAAACAGAUUAAAGAGAAUUGGGAGGGAUUGAACAAAGGUAGGCUCAGAUUCGCCUUUGAUCCAUCACAUGAAGAGAUCUCCCUCUCCUUUUCCUCUCCUCUUGCUCAAAUCCUUCGAGGACUAUGACUGCAGCGGUUGCACUGAAGCCAUCCAAGCUUAUUGCCGUCAUAAUCCAUUUAAUUUGGGAUCAGGAAUGAGCACAACGAGAAAAAAGAGUUUAGUUUAGAGAUCACCCAUCAAUCAGUGAUAUGCCAUCACCAGCUCCAAUUGCUUGGAUACAAACCAAUGGCUAUUGCGAUCAUCAUCACCUGCUUAUAGAUGCAAAAGUUUGUCUGCAUUCACAGAGAGCAGCUGUAUGCAUUCACAGAGAGCAGCAGAAGAAGUACGCAUUCACAGAGAGCAGCAGCAGCAGCAGAAGAAGAAGAAGAAGAAGAAGAAGAAGAAUAUGCAUGCACUCACAGAGAGGAGGAGGAGGAGGAGCAGCAGCAGCAGCAGCAGAAGAAAGAAAAAGGGUUUAGAAACAAAAAAACACAAGUUCAAACCACAUUACGAGGGGCAUAAAUCACCCACCACUCAACAAAGAACCAUCAGCUACACAAGAAGCAACAAUUCCGCAGAGCUCCUGGUAGAAAUAAGGAAGGUUUGAAGCAGGGAAAGCAAAUCCCUGCCCAGAUGCACUUGUCUACCACACCCAAAGAAUUACAGGCUUGUUCUGUUGGAUAAAUUGCACCACUAGUCCCCAAACUUUUAGCCAAGUUUCAUUUUGGUCCUCAAAUUUCAUGUUGGAUACUAGAUAUCCGAAAAUUUUGGUACAUUAUUUUCACUCAUUAGCACAUUAUUUUCAGUCAUUAGCCUCAUCUUUUGCUAGAGGAAAAUUUAUUGCCUGCACCAGGUGCAUCCAAACAUUCACGCACCAAGCAUCCAUCGGCUCUCAAUCUCAUCCAGGAGACAAAGGCACAAUGAUGCAGGUGCUUAAUGAUGCACAAUUUCUCAUGCACAUAUACCAGCCAAGCUUGCGUAACUUCAUAACCUUCUAGCACCCAAGAGAAGAAAAAAGCAUCACACACACACAAUGAGAAUGAGAGAGAGAGAGAGAGCGAGAGAGAGAGAGGGGAAGUCUUGAAAUCUAAAAGCAAGCCUAGAGGCCUUAGAAUUUAACUGCUGACAUUUAACUUUUAAGGCCUCUAGACAGGGGUGUAAACGAGCCGAGCUUUAGCGAGCUUAUCUCAGCUCAAGCUUGGCUUAAAAUUAAUUUCAAGCCUAAACUUAGGCUCAAGCUCACCUUGAAAUUAAUUCGGGCCUUGCUGGAGAGAGCGUAACUUCAAAUCGAGCGAGCUCGAGCCCUAAACGAGCCACUUGAAAUUCUUAACAUCAUACAAUCUAUAAUUUAAUUUUUGUAAAACAAUAUCUAAAUUUGAUACAAAAAUAUGUCUAAUAGUUCAACAUAUAAAAUAAAUGCAUGAAUACGGUAUUAUAAUAUUAAGAAAAGUAAUUUAGGGGAAGUGACUGGGCGAGCAAGUGAAAGAGAGGGAGAGGGAGUAAUUAAAGCAAGGUUUUGCUGGUUUGGUUUUGCGGGUCAACAAAUAUGCCCAAUAACCUAAACUCUAUAUACAUAUAAUUAAAAUACAUAAUAUAUAAUUAUAUAUUUAUAAAUACUUUUAAUAUAUAUAUAUAUAUAUAUAUAUAUAUAUAUAUAUAUAUAUAUUCGAGCUUUUCGAGCCUAUUCAAGCGAGCCCAGCAAUACUCAAGCUUGGCUUGAAAUCAAUUGAGUUUUUUUUCUCUUCAAGCUCAGCUCAAUUAAUUUCGAGUCGAGCUCGAGCGAGCUAAAUACCGAGCCGAACAUGAGCCGAACACGAGCCGAACACGAGCUGAAUUUUUAACGAGCCAGCUCGUGUUCGAGCUGACCCCAGCUCGCUCGUGUUCAGCUCGUUGACACCCCUAAUAGUGUGAAGCAGAGAAAGCAAGUCCUUGCCAAGAUGCAUUUGUCUGCCAUUCGAAAAGCAUUACACCUCUUUUUUUAGGUAAAUUGCACUAUUAGCCCCCAAAACUUUCACUCAAGUUUCCAUUUGGUCCUCGAAUUUCCAAGCUGACUAUUAGAUACCCGAAACUUCAGCCAUUAGCCUCAUAUUUGUUGAAGAAAAAGUUAUUCCCUUCACCCAGUGUAUCCGUACAUUCAUGCGCCUUGCAUCCAUCAACUCUCAACCUCAUACAGGAGGCUGAGGAACAAUGGCGCAGGUGCAUGCUAUGGCACAAUUUCUCAUGCAUGUAAACCAGCCAACCUUACGGAGUUCAUACCCCUCCAGCACAUGAGAAGAACAAAACACACACACACACACACACACACACACACACACACAGAUAGAUAGAUAGAUAGAGAGAGAGAGAGACAGAGAGACAGAGAGAGA
Molecule: long non-coding RNA, 53227 nt
Filed under: Ananas comosus (pineapple)
Lineage: Eukaryota; Viridiplantae; Streptophyta; Magnoliopsida; Poales; Bromeliaceae
Source: RNAcentral